RNAcentral lists this long non-coding RNA (75868 nucleotides) under Olea europaea (common olive). RNAcentral's name for it is "long non-coding RNA (OEUR_LNC010626)". Lineage: Eukaryota; Viridiplantae; Streptophyta; Magnoliopsida; Lamiales; Oleaceae. The record is from RNAcentral.
UUUUUUUUUAACUUACUUUGUUUUUUUUUUUAAUUCAUUUAAUGGGUCAAAGGCCAAUGUCAAAUUUUGCUAUAGUGGAAGAGCCAUUUUCGUGUAUUUCCUCGACUUUUUAGGUUGCGUUUUAUUCCAAGGAUGAAAUUUGGAUGGUAUGGAAAUAAAUUUUAGACAAUUUAAUUGAGCUAUUUGAUUAUCAAUAUUUGUUGGAUACCGUUAUUUAUAUUCACAAUUUUUAUAUGUACAUUCACUUUUAAAAAGAAUAAUUAUGUUAUAUUUUAGCCUCUAUUUGAGCCCCAUUAAAUUAAAUUCUAUUAUAUUUCAUUUUUUCUUUAUUAUUUUUAAUUUCACAAUCUUCCAUAAAAUAAUAUUACACGUAAAUCAAAAAUUUUUCAUUCUUUUUCAACUACUUAUUUUUCAAAAAAACAUUAUUCUCCCUAUUAAUUUUUCUACGUAAUGGAGAUCAAACAGGGGCUUAAUCUUAUGUAAAUUUACUUAAAUAGUCAUAUAUAAAAUUAAAUAAACUUAUAUCAUUCUAAAUUCAUCUACUUAAAUCUAUUUUUAUUAAAGUCUUUUAAACCUUUUUAUAUUCUUGUAGAGUUUGUGUUUAACUAAAAUUCUUUCCUUAUACUACCCAUCUCACCGCCACCCUCACAGGCCUCAUCCGUUCACGUUCACGCCCAUGUCCACCUCUUUCAUCCUUAUAAUAGAAUACAUACAGCAAAUUACAAAUACAGGCAUACACAGUUGAUGAAUUCUGGUAUAUAGAACAUUGAUAAUAUACCAGUAAUUUUAAUCUUCAAUUGUGCAGAAAAGAAAAGAAAUAAAAAAAAUAUGUGAAGAAUAAAAGCUAUGAAAAAGUUUCUGCAAAAUGGGUUCCCAUUUUUUUCCAUCUUUUUCAUCUUGCUUGGGCUUACUUUCACAAACAAGCAUAGCCGACGAUUCUGGGUUUUGAUAAAUUUUUCUUUUUUAUAAUUCUCUGCUAAAUUUAACAUUUAUAACCUUAUCAGCGAUCAAUUAAUCAUAAAUUAAAUUUUAUGAACUUUAUCCUUUAUUAUAAAUUCAUACAUAAAUUUAUUUUAUUUCAAAAUUAUGCGUAAGUUCAAAAAGUUGAUUUUUAUUGAAUAUAAAAAUAAUAUUUGUCAAUCAAUAUAAUGGACCAAUUCAUGUGGAAAAUAACAAACCCACGGGGCAUUUAAUUUUAUUUUGCAUAUAAUAUUUUGCUUAUAGAAUUAAUUAUUGAAUUGUAAGAAGGUUGGUACUAAUAAGAAUGAAUAUAGUGCUUUUUAAAAAAAAAAAAAAAUUGUAAUUGCAUUAGGGAUGUAUUUAAAGUGUGAUGAAUAUAUUAAAUUGGUGUGGAUAUAUUGUUUUUAAAUGAAUGAAUUCAAUGAGGGUAAUAUUGGAAUAUGACGUGGAUGACAAUAGUAUUUUUUUAAAAUUCUAAUAUUUUCAUAGGGAUGUAUAUAGAGUGGGAUGAACAUGUAAAAAUCAUGGAUGUAAAUAGCCGUACCCUAUUUUUAUAUAAAAAAAUGUGUUUUUCAUCCAAUUUUUUACUUUUGUGCUAUUUGAUUGUCAUAUUUUUCAUAAAAAAUAUUUUCCUACUUUUGAUCAUGUGAUCAUAUUUUCCUCAUAAUUAAGGAAAAUAUAUUUUUGAUGGAGAGUUGGAUUUUAUUUUCAACGGAAUUCACUCUCUCUUUCUCUCUCUCUCAUCAUUCCACUCUCUCCUAUCUACCUAACAAUAAAAAAUGGACAAAUAUAAUAUUUUCUAAAUUGAAAAUUAAAUCAAUGAAAUAUAUUUAAUUGACAAUUUUCAUGCAAAUAAGUCUUAGGCAAUUGAAUUACCUAUAAUUUAUUUUCUUCCUCAACUUAGAAAAUAUUAUAUUUGUCCAUUUUUUAUUGGUCGAUAAAUGUGAGAGAGUGGAUGGAUGAGAGAGAGAAAGAGAGAGUGAAUUCCGUUGAAAAUAAAAUUCAGCUCUCCCUAAAGAAAAUAUUUUCCUUGAUUUUGAGAAAAAUAUGGUCACGUGUCCAAAAGUAGGAAAAUGUAUUCCAUAGAAAAAAUGGCAAUCAAAUAGCACAAAAGUAUGUAUUUGGAUGAAAAAAACAUAUUUUUCAUGAAAAAUAUUGGCUAUCAAGUAAACCGUUAUUUGCAUUGAAAUUAUUAAUUUAAUUGUUUGAUUGAUUUAAUUUUUUAACAAAGAAUACUUAUCCAUUUUUUAUUAGUAGAUAGAUGAGAGAAAGAAAGUGAGAGUAAAUUUCCUGAAAAAUAAAAUACUACUCCCAAAAUAUUUUCCUUGAUUUUGAGGAAAAUAAUGUUAUGGGACCAAAAGUAAGAAAAUAUUUUUCAUGAAAAAAUAUCAAUCAAACAGCACAAAAGUAAGAAUUUGGGUGGAAAAUACAUUUUUCAUGAAAAAUAUUGACAAUCAAAUGCACCCUUAGUUUUAUGAUAAACAAAUAUAUAAUCUAUAAAAUACGAUUUUAAUCCUCUUAUAAUUCAAUUAUAUCAAUGAUACCUAAUAAAUAUUACAAAAAUAUUGUCAUUUAUCAAAUUUGUGUUGUUGACGUCAAAAUUAGCAAGGCUAAUCUUAAGCCAACUUUAAGAAAAAAAGGAAUUCAUUGUUGAAAAAGACCACAAAAUAUAUUGAGAAAGUGUAAUUGUGUCAUGAGUUGUUAUGUUCAUUCACCUGCCUUUUACAAGAGUCCUAUUCAACUAUUUAUACAUAGUUUCAGCUGAAAUUAUAUCAAAUCAGUCAAAUUAGCUACAGUACCAAGCUUGGAACUCGGGUCACCGAAUUCUCUGGUGAUUGGUUGACGAGGCCGAUGGCCAUGUGUCAAUGUUUUCCCCAGGUAAUGAUGACCUGCAAGGGGCUUUAGAUUUAGGACUUCGGAUUCGUGGUUUUGGGCGGUGAUGAUGUCACUUGUGGUAAGUGUGUAUGAUUGAUAGGGUGAUGUGACAGGGGGAAAUCAUGAUUUUUUUUUUGAGAUAACGGAAGGACUGUCCGAGCUGGGAGCAGUGACUGAACUCACAUCUGCCUGAGGUGGGGUUAGGGAACUAUUUUUAUUAGGUCGGAGUUUGGUUGUCAACAGUUAUCCCCCAGGUCAAUUUUGCCGUAGGGGGAGCUGACCUCAUUUGACGCUUUCUUCAAGAAGUGUAUUUAUUGCCGUGCCAAGUGUCACCUUUUUGAUGGGGAUGAGCUAUACGGCAUUGUUAAUUGCUUCUUCAACAAGUUUGUUGUGAAACUACGUCGUUUUGGUCCUUUAGGCUUUCGGACCGUUGAUCUUCCUCCAUCUUUGGAAUGAUGGUUCAGAUCAUGUCUUUUCAGCUUCUCUUUCUUUAAAUUACUUUUGGCCUGUCAUUUUGCCUUCUAUUUCACUGGUUAUUCUCUCCAAAUCUUCGGGCAAUCUCCUGAGUUCGUUUUUCCAUUUUCGAGUGAGGUUGUUUUCCCUAUUCAUUUCCUAGGUAUUCUUCUGUUCUUUUUUCUUCAUCCUUUCAGUUUGCGCUUUAUUUCCUAGUUUUUACAUGAGUUCGGAAGAGUCUAGAGUUCACUCCUGGGGAAACCAGUAGGAAGAGUCAGUUCCCCCUUCGACGAGCUUGUCCUUUAGUUGUAAGGAAGUUUUCAUCCCUGUUCCUAUUUCCAAAAUUAACCCAAUCGAUUUAGGGCGUCCUGUCAUGGACUCUGGAUUUGAGGGCUCCAAGGGAGAGGAUGGAUUCAUUAAAGAUGUUGAGGAGAGUAAUUCUGGGGAGUAGGGGGCAAGCUUUUACAGGUCGAUUGUAACAUGGGAUAUGUUAGCCAGCAGACGAGCUAAAUACGCUAUCCCGAGUUCGGUAGUGAUGAUAAUACCAGAACCAUCUGAUUGGGCUGACACUCUUCCUGAGCGAUGCGUAGCUCUGAACUCAGCCAUACUUCAGGCCAGCCUUAGACUUCCAUUUCCUAGGGUAAUUCGUAAAUUCCUUCCUUCCUAGGGCAUAGCUCCCACGUAGCUAUGCCCUAACAGGUGGUGAACCUUAAUCGCCGCCCUCAUUCUGUGGGACCAAAUGGGGAAUCCCGAGUUGAGUGUCCAACAAUUCAACUCUCUGUUUACGUUUAAAGAGGAUGGAAAAAAUUUUGGCUGGUGGUACACCAGUGUUAGGCCGAUGACGGGGGGUCGUCGGUGCUAAACACUCCUUCUUCGAUCAAAAAAUGGACGGAAGAGUUCUUUUAUGUGUCGGGGGAGUGGCAGUUCCAUCGUUCCGAAGUGAAUAGAGAGGACAUGGUCCCCAGGCUCUAUCAUCCUUUAUGUAAGUGUUAUGUGCUUUAGUCUUUAGCAAGGCGUAUGCUAAUGAAGUACUGACCUCGGUAUUUCUCCUUUGUGAAGAUUACAAGAAGGAGACGUUAACCAAGGAUACGCAGAGACGAGUCGAGGUAAUAAGGUCAUUACCCAAAAGGCAGAGGUCCUGUAAGUUUGUGAUCUCAAAUUCAAACUUAUUUCUGGCCGACUUGGUGCAAAUGCGAGCUUCCAGUUUGGCUCCUACCAGCUAAGGUAAUAUUUUGACCCUCAUUCAUGGUUGUUGUUGUUGUGUGUGUGCGUAUAUUAUUAUUAUUAUUAUUAUUCAUUGACCGUUUCACUAUUUUUUCAGCUCAUCAAGACGAGAUGCGGGUCUAUAAGGCAGUGGCUGCAGCCAAAGGAAAAAAGAGGGAUGUCCCAGAACAGCCAGAGAGCCGUUUGGAAGAGGUGGAGGAGGAGGUUUCACUGAAGAGGAAUCGAUCUGCGCCCCCGGCAGCACCGAGAAUUCCUGAGGCUGUACCUUUAUCAAGCUCGUCUCCUACUCUGCCAUCCCCUACUUUACCAUCCCCAGUUGCACCCUCCGCCGUUGGGACUAGCUCUGUGAGGUCGCAGGAGAGGUGCCCAGAUUUAUAGAGAUCGAGCUUGGGGAGUUUGGUGGGCCAUCGACCAGAAAUAUUUCUUGAUUAUCUCCGAGCUCCUUCUCCUUCCAGGGAGGUGAUUGCCGCGCUCACUUUACCAUUGAGAGAGUCAGCAAAUCUGCUUACCCGGAGCUGGGGUGAGAGAGAGUAGGGUUAUCUAAAUGAGAUACCCAUCGGUGAGGCGCCUUGGUCACUGCUCAGCUCCAUCGUCACCGAUCAAUUUUAUACAUGAUGGCAAUGGCAGACAAGGUAUUCUUCCUGUUUCAUGUUGUUUUUAGUUCUUUGAGCAACUUUUUUAUUGACUUGGUGAUUUUUGAUGUUUGAAAAACAGGUGAAGUCUGAGCUAGACAAGCUUAUAGAGGCAAAGGACCAAGCCUUUAGCCUUUAUAACAGCAUGGAGGCUGAAAAGACCUAAUUUGCUCUGAAGGAGAAGGAGUAUGAAGAGAAGCUUAAUCAGAUGAGGGUCGAGUUGAACUCUAGGAUCAACGUUGACGAAAAACUUAUGGGAGAGAUCAGGGCCUUGAGGGCCUUAGAGGAAGAAGCCAGAGAUCGGGUUGAGGAGGAACAAGUUAAGGUCAAGGAGGCCAUCCAAAAAGUGCAGGAGGCCAAUGAAAGGGCGAAGGAGGCCACCAGGAGGGCUGAAGAGGCUGAGGUUGAGGCUGAAGCUAAGGCUGUCAGAGUGGUGGAGACUUGGAAGGAGUUCCCUGAGUUUGAUAUCUUAGCCCAGGACGUCUAUGUGGUAGCACUUGAGGAAUUAGUGGGGCACAUCAGGAAGGAGAGGCCUGACUUUGACGCGGCCUUUCUGGAUGAAGCGCUGGAGGGGUAGAAGGAGGAGCUGCGGAAGUUAUCGGAGGUGGCGGGAGUUCAGAUGUCUUCAGUAGAAGAGGCAGCUCCGGAGAAGACCCCUGUUCCUCAAGAUCCCCACCUGCCUUAGAUGUGUUUUAAUGACGAGUUUCAUAUUUUAACUAUGAAUGUUUUGUAAUGACAGUUUUCGUAUUUUUAACUAUGAAUGUUUUAUCUGAUAUGGUAUUUUUAUGAAAGCAAGUACUUUUGUAUUUUUAGUUGCACUAUGAUGAAUCUUGUUUAUGUCGUAGCACUUAUGACCUUAGGUCAGCCUAUGCAUGGGGUCGGGUUUACAGAAUUCCUUGGGAGGAAUUUUCACUAAGUGUCGUAAAACAUACAACCUUAGCUCGGCUUGCGUAAGGAGCAGGGCUUUUUUGAAUUCCUUAGGAGGAAUUUCGUCUAAGUGUUGCAGUACUUACAACCUUAGCUCAACCUGCGUAAAGAGUAGGGCUUUGUUGAAUUCCUUAGGAGGAAUUUGAACUAAGUGUCGUAGUACAUACGACCUUAGAUUGGCCUGCGUAAGGAGAAGGGCUCUUUAGAACUCCUUAGGAGAAAUUUCUACUAAGUGUUGCAGUACAUACGACCUUCGAUCGGCCUGCGUAAGGAGCAAGGCUUUUUAGAAUUCCUUAGGAGGAAUUUUCACUAAGUAUCGUAGCACAUACGACCUUAGAUUGGCCUGCAUAAGGAGCAGGGCUUUUUAGAAUUCCUUAGGAGGAAUUUCCACUAAGUGUCGCUGCACAUACGACCUUAGAUCGGCCUGCGUAAGGAGCAGGGCUUUUUAGAAUUCCUUAGAAGGAAUUUUCACUAAGUUUCGCAGCACAUAUGACCAUAGAUCGACCUGCGUAAGGAGCAGGGCUUUGUAGGAUUCCUUAGGAGGAAUUUCAUCUAAAUGUUGCAGCAGUUACAACCUUAGCUCGGCCUGCGUAAGGAGCAGGACUUUGAAGAAUUCCUUAGGAGGAAUUUUCACUAAGUGUCGUAGCACAUACGACCUUAGAUUGGCCUGCGUAAGGAGCAUGGCUUUUUAGAAUUCCUUAGGAGGAAUUUCCACUAUGUGUUGUAGCACAUACGACCUUAGAUCGGCCUGCAUAAGGAGUAGGGCUUUUUAGAAUGGGGUUUCUCUCGUGCUAGUCCUUGCAGUGGUGCGGUAUGACCAUAGCACACUGGGGAGUUCUUCGGCCCAUUCUCCUUUAAACAAGUCAAGUUUUGCUUUCAAUGUGUGCUUAAUAAUUUUGUUAAUGACUUCGACUUGGUUGUUUGCCUGCGAAUGGUUCGGCGUUGAAAAAUGUUUCUUGAUGCCAAACUCUUUACAGAAAUCUGAAAGUCGUGCGUUGUUGAACUAUUUUCUAUUGUCCGUAACGAUAGAGUGAGGUAUGCCGAACCUACAGAUGAUUGAUUUCCACAAAAAAUCCGUUGUUUUUUGUUCAAUGAUCUUGGCAAGUGGCUCUGCCUCGGCCCAUUUAGUGAAGUAAUAUACUGCGACGAUGGCGAAUUUUACACCUCCUUUUCCAAUGGGUAUAGGUCCAAUUAGGCUGACCCCCCAUUUUGCAAAGGGCUAAGGUGCUAUUACCCAGUUUAGUUCACGCGGUGGAGUAUUUAUGAUGGGGGCAAGGCGAUGGCACUUUUCGUAUCUUUUGACAAGUUCAAGGGAAUCACGUCUUAUUGUAGGCCAAAAGUAUCCUUAUCGUAUGAUCUUGUGGGUUAGGGAAAGCCCACAGAAAUGGUUUCCACAUAUUUCUUCGUGAACGUCUUGCAGGGCGUGCUGAGCUUUUUCUUCGUUCAAACAUCUUAAUAAGGGCGUAGGAUAUCCCCGUUUGUAUAGUACAUUGUCAAUGAAUGUACAUGGCCGACUUGAUUCGGAGCUUUCUAGCCACUGCAAAGUUUUUGGGACAUUUCCUGGUCCUUAGGUAGGCGAUGAUCUCGUCCUACCUAGUUGGUUUGGGGUUUAUUAUCAUAAGGACCACUUUGGCCAGCUCGAUGGACGGUAAGGAUAUUCUUCCCACGGGGAUGCUAUCGAAUUCUUCGAUUCCCUCACCGGUGGCUAGGCAGGCCAGUACGUUGGCGUGGUCAUUUUAAGAUCGGAGAAUCUGUUUGACUUGGGCGGUGUUGAACCAUCCAAGUUCUUUCCUUACAAUUCGUAGGUAAUUGUACAUUCUUUCUUCUUUCGCCAGAUAUACACCGUUGACCUGAUUCACGACUAGUUGGGAGUCGCUAUGUAUGAUUAGGUCAGAGAUCCCCAACCCUGAGGCCAUCCUUACUCCGGCAAUGAGAGCUUUGUACUCGGUCUCAUUGUUUGAAGCUUUAAAAUCAAAUGGCAAGGCUUCGUAGAAUAUGCGAUGUUCAGGGCUGAUUAAUACUACGCCAGCCCAUAUCGUUCUCUGGUGGAUGAACCAUCGACAUAAAGUUCCCAUGGGAUAUCUUUCGGUAGUUCCUUGAUUGGAGUGUUGCAGAACUCAGAGACGAAGUCGACGAGUGCUUGGCCCUUGAUGGAGGGUAUUUGAUGUCGAAUUGUCCGAGCUCAACUGCCCACUUUACUAUCCAACCUGAAGUGUCGGGUCUUUGCAAUGUUUGUCUCAAUGGAGAAUUGGUGAGACUUCAAUGGGGUGUUCCAAGAAAUAUGGCCUCAGUUUUCGCGCUGCCAUCAGCAGGGUGAAUUCCAGCUUUUCUACAAGUGAGUAUCUGAGCUCGACUUCGUGAGGCGCUUUGCUUAUGUAAUAGACUGGGUAUUGAACGCCGUUCUCUUCUCAGGUCAAAACUGCACUAAUGGUAUGUUCUGAAAUAGAUAAAUAUAGCUUGAGGACCUCGCCUGCCUUAGGUUUUGAAAGCAACGGAGGCUGAGCCAGUUGUUUCUUUAACUCGUUCCUCCUCGUAACGUGUCAAAGAAGGAUUUGCAUCGGUCUGUAGACUUAGAGACGAACCGGCUGAGGGUGACAAUCCUUCCGGUUAAACUUUGUACCUCUCUGGGUUUGGUUGGAGGCUUUAUUUGGAUAACAGCUUGUAUUUUUUCAGGAUUUGCCUCGAUUAUUUACAAUAUAACAUAGGAACCUUCCAGAGCUGACCUCGAAAGCACAUUUCCUAGGGUUUAACUUCAUUCCAUACUUUCUCAGAAUAUCGAACAUCUCGGCUAGGUGCCGACAGUGGUCUUUGGCCUUGACGCUUUUGACCAGCAUAUCAUCAACAUACAUUUCUAUUGUUUUUUCGAUCUGUUGGGAAAACAUGGAAUUCACAAGUCGUUGAUAGGUGGCACCAACAUUUUUGAGACAAAUGGCAUUACUAUGUAGCAGUAAAGACCUCGGUUAGUUAUAAACGAGGUAUGUUCUUGAUCUGGACCAUACAUCAGUAUCUGGUUAUAUCCGAAGUGCGCGUCCAUGAAGUCGAGUAGUUCCUGUCCGACAGUGGCGUCCACCAUUUGAUCUAUUCUUGGUAAAGGAAAACUAUCUUUUGGGCAUGCUUUAUUGAGAUCGGUGAAGUCUAUGCAUACCCUCCAACCUCCAUUGUGUUUUUCACAAGGACCGAAUUUGCGACCCACUUCGAAUAUUUUGCCUCAUGGAGGAAACCAUUGUGCAACAAUUUUUGCACCUCCUUGUUGAGUGCUUCAUUUCUUUCAGGGUUCAGAGGUCGUCGUUUUUACUGCUUCGGCCGAACUGAGGGAUCCACCUGUAAUUUGUGACAAGCGACAUUGGGAUCUAUUCCUCUAAUGUCCCUGUGAUUCUAGGCAAGGUUUUGUCUAAUGAAGGCCACAAUUUCGCUUCGGGUGGAGGGCUGCAGCUCGCGCCCGACUUUGAGUUCUUUUAAUGGGUCGUCGGCACAAACUUGAACUCCUUCUAGUUCUUCGACGGGUACUCCACCUUCGAUCUCGGUCCGCAGGUCUAGUGGAAUUAGCUCGAAUUCCCAUAUAUUUGCCAUAUGUAUUCCCGAGGGGGUGCGUUGAUGGCUGGUGUAGGGUUUCCAUUGACAUCUUUUGCCGAGCUCCUUGUUUCCUUUGACUUUACCCACACCGUGGAGUAUGGGAAAUUUGAUUGAAUAGUGAUACAGGGACACUGCUGCUCUCAGGCUGAAUAGUAGGAGAUGUCCCAUUACAACAUCAUAAGACUAUGGAGCGUCAAAUACUACGAACUCGGAGUUUGUCUUCACCUGUCCGGGUGCUAAUCCUGACCCGACUUUGAGUUUGAUCGAUCCUUUGGCCAAAGUCAGGGCUCCGCUUAAUCCAAGGACCAUAUUUGGGUAUGGUUGAAUGAAGUUAGCAUGGAUACCCAUCAAUUUGAGGGUGUUGCUGAAUAUGAUGUUUAGAGCACUCCCUGUAUCCACCAAGACUUUGGGGAUGGUUACCCCGGCUACAGGUAACGAGAUUACCAGAACUACGGGGUAAGGAUAUGGGUUCACCUCUUUUUUGUCAAAGGGCAAUUGCUUAUCUGUGGCUUCUUGAGGUACUUUUCAGUUAUACUGAUCUCAGAGAGAUCCACAACGAUAGGUCUCUUCAGUCCAGCUUGCGUGUUUGCCCUGCCCCUUAGCAUGUUGACUUGUGGCUUUGGCAGGUCGAUAUUACUGGCCCUUGCUCUAGCUUGAUCUCCUCGGAUAAUCGUUUUCCCGUAAGGAGUGGGAAAUUUCAUGCAAUAAUGAUAAAUUGAUGUAGCAGCUUUUAGCUCGUAGAAAAUGGGUCGUCCCAAUAUUGCGUUAUAAUUGGAUGGCAAAUCGACCACCACGAAAUCUGCUAGGAUCCUUCUUUGGCGAAGAGCUUCGCCUAGCUCUACAACAAGGAUGAUGUGACCUCGAACUUUGAUAGGAUCCCCAGAGAAUCCUUGUGGUUUCCUUGAGUACGGUUGGAGAUAGCAUUCUGAUAUUUCUAACUGCCUCAAAGUUCGUGAGUACAGUAUCUUGUUCUGGGCCUAAGUCCUGCUAAUACGGCCAUGAGUGCUGCAUCGUCAGAUAUUUUUUCCACUUCCACGGAUUGCUUGUUGAAUCUGCUCAGAUAGCUUUUGAGGGUUUUACUUUUUCCCUGUUUGAUGCUUACUAGGCAUUCUUUGGGCAUGGUUCGGGCCUUGGAGCCCAUGACCUAGGCCAAGAAUGUCGUGGCCAGAUCAUUCCAAUUUUUUUUUCGAUCUCUGGUACAGUCUCCUAAACCAUCUCUGAGCUUUGUCUCCCAGAGUCAGGGGGAAUACCCGACACAUAAUUGCGUUGCUUGCCCCCCAUAGUUCCAUCCACGAGGUGUAUUUUUCAAGGUGGCUGAGGGGAUCACCAUCCCCUUCGUAUGCGGCCAUCGGGGGAAUUUUCAAUUUUCAGGUAAUGGUUCAAUCGGGACAUCCUUAGUGAAGGGAGAAUGUUGUUUGGUUUGAUUUAGUGUCACCUUUGUUUUUAGCCUCCAGGUCAGUGAUGCGUCUUUUCUGCGCACUUAGCUCGAGUUCUGUUUGUUCCAAUGGGCGUUUGAGGUCGGUUUGUCCUCGCGUAGGGGUUAGUGAAUGCUGGGUCCCCAAUCUGUCGAACACACUACCAGUCCUCCUCGCCCCGGGUUCCUUACUUUUGACCUCAUCGGUUCGACUUCUUGAGGAUUCUCAUCUUGAAAAGUGGAGAGUCCUUCAAGUGGGGGGACGCCUUACCUUUGUCCUUGCAGGGGAUUCCACCUCAGUAUUUGGUGGGGAUAAGUGGGCUUGACUCCGUUCCAGUCGUCCCACUGUAUUUGUCAGUUUUUCCAGGGCUUCCCUUAUGGCGGUCAUCUGAGGGUUUUGUCGUCGUAGAGAACUUGGUGGAGUAUUCGUUUCAUGAGGGUGGGUGUGAGAUGGGUUUCUGGAACUUGAGCUAUGGCUCAUGGCUCUCGAAUUUUGUGGAGAGAAUGAGACUAUUUUUCACAAUUGAGCCCCUCCUUCUAGCGCCAAACUGUUGACGUCAAAAUUAGCAAUGCUAAUUUUAAGCCAACUUUAAGAAAACGAGGAAUUCAUUGUUGAAAAAGACCACAAAAUAUGUUGAGAAAGUGUAAUUGUGUCAUGAGUUGUUAUGUUCAUUCACCUACCUUUUACAAGAGUCAUAUUCAACUAUUUAUACAUAGUUUCAGCCGAAAUUACAUCAAAUCAGUCAAAUCAGCUACAGUACUGAGCUCGGAACUCAGGUCGCCAAAUUCUCCUGUAAUUGGUUGACGAGGCUGGUGGCCAUGUGUCAAUGUUUUCCCUAGGUAAUGAUGACCUGCAAGGGGCUUCAGAUUUAGGACUUAGGAUUGGCGGUUUUGGGUGGUGAUGAUGUCACUUGUGGCAAGUGUGUAUGAUUGAUAAGGUGAUGUAAUAGGUAAUCAUGAUAUUUUUUUGAGAUAAUGGGGGGGAUUGUCUGAGCUAGGAGCAGUGACCGAACUCAAAUCUGCCUGAGGUAGGUUUAGCGAACUGUUUUUAUUAGGUCGGAGUCCGGUUGUCAGAAUGUGUUAUUAAUUCUCAAUUAAUUAACAUUCACAUUAAUCUAGACUCAAUGAAUUUUCACUUAAUGAAUUUUGAAUUAUAUGAAUCUAGAGUUAUUAUAGAUGAAUUCAUUCAUAUUCAUGUAUAUGAAAAUUUUAAUGGCUGUUUAGAUUUAUGUAUUAACAAUUACUUUUUACAUAUCAAAUAUAAUAUAAAAAGAUUGUUCAUUUAUAGUAUUUCACCAUUACNNNNNNNNNNNNNNNNNNNNNNNNNNNNNNNNNNNNNNNNNNNNNNNNNNNNNNNNNNNNNNNNNNNNNNNNNNNNNNNNNNNNNNNNNNNNNNNNNNNNNNNNNNNNNNNNNNNNNNNNNNNNNNNNNNNNNNNNNNNNNNNNNNNNNNNNNNNNNNNNNNNNNNNNNNNNNNNNNNNNNNNNNNNNNNNNNNNNNNNNNNNNNNNNNNNNNNNNNNNNNNNNNNNNNNNNNNNNNNNNNNNNNNNNNNNNNNNNNNNNNNNNNNNNNNNNNNNNNNNNNNNNNNNNNNNNNNNNNNNNNNNNNNNNNNNNNNNNNNNNNNNNNNNNNNNNNNNNNNNNNNNNNNNNNNNNNNNNNNNNNNNNNNNNNNNNNNNNNNNNNNNNNNNNNNNNNNNNNNNNNNNNNNNNNNNNNNNNNNNNNNNNNNNNNNNNNNNNNNNNNNNNNNNNNNNNNNNNNNNNNNNNNNNNNNNNNNNNNNNNNNNNNNNNNNNNNNNNNNNNNNNNNNNNNNNNNNNNNNNNNNNNNNNNNNNNNNNNNNNNNNNNNNNNNNNNNNNNNNNNNNNNNNNNNNNNNNNNNNNNNNNNNNNNNNNNNNNNNNNNNNNNNNNNNNNNNNNNNNNNNNNNNNNNNNNNNNNNNNNNNNNNNNNNNNNNNNNNNNNNNNNNNNNNNNNNNNNNNNNNNNNNNNNNNNNNNNNNNNNNNNNNNNNNNNNNNNNNNNNNNNNNNNNNNNNNNNNNNNNNNNNNNNNNNNNNNNNNNNNNNNNNNNNNNNNNNNNNNNNNNNNNNNNNNNNNNNNNNNNNNNNNNNNNNNNNNNNNNNNNNNNNNNNNNNNNNNNNNNNNNNNNNNNNNNNNNNNNNNNNNNNNNNNNNNNNNNNNNNNNNNNNNNNNNNNNNNNNNNNNNNNNNNNNNNNNNNNNNNNNNNNNNNNNNNNNNNNNNNNNNNNNNNNNNNNNNNNNNNNNNNNNNNNNNNNNNNNNNNNNNNNNNNNNNNNNNNNNNNNNNNNNNNNNNNNNNNNNNNNNNNNNNNNNNNNNNNNNNNNNNNNNNNNNNNNNNNNNNNNNNNNNNNNNNNNNNNNNNNNNNNNNNNNNNNNNNNNNNNNNNNNNNNNNNNNNNNNNNNNNNNNNNNNNNNNNNNNNNNNNNNNNNNNNNNNNNNNNNNNNNNNNNNNNNNNNNNNNNNNNNNNNNNNNNNNNNNNNNNNNNNNNNNNNNNNNNNNNNNNNNNNNNNNNNNNNNNNNNNNNNNNNNNNNNNNNNNNNNNNNNNNNNNNNNNNNNNNNNNNNNNNNNNNNNNNNNNNNNNNNNNNNNNNNNNNNNNNNNNNNNNNNNNNNNNNNNNNNNNNNNNNNNNNNNNNNNNNNNNNNNNNNNNNNNNNNNNNNNNNNNNNNNNNNNNNNNNNNNNNNNNNNNNNNNNNNNNNNNNNNNNNNNNNNNNNNNNNNNNNNNNNNNNNNNNNNNNNNNNNNNNNNNNNNNNNNNNNNNNNNNNNNNNNNNNNNNNNNNNNNNNNNNNNNNNNNNNNNNNNNNNNNNNNNNNNNNNNNNNNNNNNNNNNNNNNNNNNNNNNNNNNNNNNNNNNNNNNNNNNNNNNNNNNNNNNNNNNNNNNNNNNNNNNNNNNNNNNNNNNNNNNNNNNNNNNNNNNNNNNNNNNNNNNNNNNNNNNNNNNNNNNNNNNNNNNNNNNNNNNNNNNNNNNNNNNNNNNNNNNNNNNNNNNNNNNNNNNNNNNNNNNNNNNNNNNNNNNNNNNNNNNNNNNNNNNNNNNNNNNNNNNNNNNNNNNNNNNNNNNNNNNNNNNNNNNNNNNNNNNNNNNNNNNNNNNNNNNNNNNNNNNNNNNNNNNNNNNNNNNNNNNNNNNNNNNNNNNNNNNNNNNNNNNNNNNNNNNNNNNNNNNNNNNNNNNNNNNNNNNNNNNNNNNNNNNNNNNNNNNNNNNNNNNNNNNNNNNNNNNNNNNNNNNNNNNNNNNNNNNNNNNNNNNNNNNNNNNNNNNNNNNNNNNNNNNNNNNNNNNNNNNNNNNNNNNNNNNNNNNNNNNNNNNNNNNNNNNNNNNNNNNNNNNNNNNNNNNNNNNNNNNNNNNNNNNNNNNNNNNNNNNNNNNNNNNNNNNNNNNNNNNNNNNNNNNNNNNNNNNNNNNNNNNNNNNNNNNNNNNNNNNNNNNNNNNNNNNNNNNNNNNNNNNNNNNNNNNNNNNNNNNNNNNNNNNNNNNNNNNNNNNNNNNNNNNNNNNNNNNNNNNNNNNNNNNNNNNNNNNNNNNNNNNNNNNNNNNNNNNNNNNNNNNNNNNNNNNNNNNNNNNNNNNNNNNNNNNNNNNNNNNNNNNNNNNNNNNNNNNNNNNNNNNNNNNNNNNNNNNNNNNNNNNNNNNNNNNNNNNNNNNNNNNNNNNNNNNNNNNNNNNNNNNNNNNNNNNNNNNNNNNNNNNNNNNNNNNNNNNNNNNNNNNNNNNNNNNNNNNNNNNNNNNNNNNNNNNNNNNNNNNNNNNNNNNNNNNNNNNNNNNNNNNNNNNNNNNNNNNNNNNNNNNNNNNNNNNNNNNNNNNNNNNNNNNNNNNNNNNNNNNNNNNNNNNNNNNNNNNNNNNNNNNNNNNNNNNNNNNNNNNNNNNNNNNNNNNNNNNNNNNNNNNNNNNNNNNNNNNNNNNNNNNNNNNNNNNNNNNNNNNNNNNNNNNNNNNNNNNNNNNNNNNNNNNNNNNNNNNNNNNNNNNNNNNNNNNNNNNNNNNUGCGAUAGAUCACAAAUAAAGCAUGCGCAAUGAUUAGAAAAUGUUUCUCCACACACCGGGACCAAGUACAAAUAGAGUAAAUUGUAUAUGUGAUUCCACGUGAAACGUGCCACUCAUUCCAUGCAAGUAAGACUCAAAACCUUAAAUUUGUGAGAAGAGACAGCCGAAUCACCGAUGUAGGUGUCAACACCCAGUUGUUUGAAGGUCAAAUCCAAUGCCACUAAGACCUAUAAUCAUUAAAAUAUGGUGCAAAAUUGUUCUUUCUCCCCCUAUCAUCAAGGACCUUCAUUUUUUUUUAUCUUAUGCGUAAUACUAUCUCCAUUAAGCUACUAAGAAGAAAUGAGCAUUGUGUUGGUGACUCCUAAAGCAGUUGGCUUUAGGGUACCAGGUUAUGAGAAACCUCUCAGACUUAAUUACUCAAGUGAACUAGGUUCCAAAGAUAGGUAUAAGAUUUAAUACAAUAAAUACUCUUUUGAAUCACUUAAGGGUACACCAAAAGUUAGGUCAUCUAGGCCAAGAUCAAUUCAAACCCAAUGUUAGCUCAGCGAUCGAUGAUAGCCAUCCCAAGUCUCACAAAUGUGUCAAUACUCACUCACACGGUCCUAGUGUGUGCUGUGCAGAUAUAAUAUGAAGUGACAUAUACUAAGUACUUCACACAGACUCAAUAUAAGUGAUGAGAAUUAGAAACUAAUCAUGCGUUGAAUGCACAUUUGAUCCCAAAUUGUAAGUCCGAGUAAACAAUUACAAUGCAAAAAUUAAACGUGAUUACCAGUCCCGAAAUUUUUAUUUCAUUUAUUUAUUAAAACCCAAAAUGAAAGACAUAUGCAAAUGAACACAAACAAGCAAUGUAAUGAAUGCAGAAAUAAAUUACUGAAAUAAACUAAACAUGCAUGUAUCUAUGAAGACGAUCAAGGAGGAAUACAGAUGCCAAUAUCCUUCCUAAGUGACUCGAAUCUCAACCCAUCUAGAGGUUUAGUGAACAGAUCGGCAAGUUGAAUUUUAGUAAAUAUGUGUUCAAGUGAUGCCACAUUGGACUCAACUAGUUCUCGAAUAAAGUGAUGACAAAUGUCAAUAUGUUUGGUCCUAGAAUGCUGAACAAGAUUUUUUGAUAUGUUGAUAGCACUGGUAUUAUUACAGAAAAUAGUCAUAGUACCCUGAUUUACCCCAUAGUCACUCAGCAUUUGCUUCAUCCAAAGUAGUUGAGUGCAACAACUACCAGCUGUAAUGUAUUCUGCCUCGGCUGUAGACAAGGAAUUUGAGUUUUGUUUCUUACUCAUCCAUGAGACAAGAUUAGAACCAACAUAGAAACAGCCACCCGAGGUACUCUUUCUAUCGUCAGCAUUUUCGGCCUAAUCGGCAUCAGAAUAGCCGGCUAAUUCAAGAUUGGACUCUCUGGAAUACAAGAUCCCGUGAUUUACUAUCCCAUUGUCAUAUCUAAUAAUACGCCUCACUGCACUUAGAUGGGACUCCUUAGGAUCAGUUUGAAAUCUAGCACAUACUCCAACACUAAAUGUUAUGUCAGGUCUACUGGCUGUAAGGUAUAGUAGAUUGCCUAUCAUGCUCUUAUACACAGUCUGAUCAACACUCUUACCUGUAGGGUAUGUCUUAACUUAACACUUGUGCUCAUGGGUGUCCUUGUGUAUUUCUUACUAUCCAAGUCAAAUCUCUUUACAAGGUCUUUGGCAUAUUUUGAUUGAGAGAUAAACAGCCCACAAUUAGUUUGCUUUACUUGAAGACCAAGGAAGUAACUUAGCUCUCCAACCAUGCUCAUUUCAAAUUCUUGUUUCAUGCAUUCAGUAAAUUCAAGAGCAAUGGAGUCAAUAGGAGAGCCAAAGAUGAUGUCAUCGACAUAGAUCUGUGCUACAGUUAUUGUUUCUUCAAUAUGUCUAAUGAAUGUUCUGUCAGCACCACCUCGUGAAAACCCAUGCUCAACGAGGUAAGUGGUGAGUCUGUCAUACCAAGCUCUAGAGCUUGUUUCAGACCAUAUAGUGCUUUAUUGAGUUUGUAGACAUAAUGAGGAAACUUAGGAUCAAUGAAUCCUUUUGGCUGUUCAACAUAUGUCUCUUCUUGAAGUGUUCCAUUUAAGAAUAAACUAUUGACAUCCAUUUGAUAUAGCUUAAACCCUAAGGUACAUGCAACUACAAGAAGAAUGUGAAUGGACUCAAGACGAGCAACAGGGACAAAAGUCUCAUCAAAAUCUGCCCCUUCAACCUGAGUGUACCCCUGGGCAACUAGUCUAGCCUUAUUUCUAGUUAUGGUACCUUGGUCAUCAGUUUUGUUCUUGAAAAUCCACUUACUACCUACAUUACAAUCAUCAGGCCUAGGAACUAGAUACCAAACAUUAUUUCGAACAAAUUGAUUAAGCUCCUCAUGCAUGGCAUUCACCCAACAUUCAUCUCUAAGGGCUUCCUCUACUUUCUUUGGUUCAAUCUGGGAUACAUAGCUAGUAUAUGUUAGUUUAUUUAGAACUCUCUUUCGUAACCUCAUACCUUCAUCUAAAUUCCCAAUGAUGUUAACCUUAGGAUGAUUAGAUUUGACCGUGGAAGAUGGUUCUCUUGGAAGCUUAGAUUGAUCACAAUUUAGUAGACCCCGAUCAGAGAUGUCUGCACCUUCAGAGGAGCGUGGAGAUUUUGGAAUUAAUUGCUCUUUAUUUUCUGCAAUGGCUCCUUGAUCAUCACUUAGAUCUUCUACUUCUGGCCCAUUUUUAGCACUCUUUCCCUCAGUGAAGGUAUCAUCAAUAACAACAUUUACAGAUUCCAUGACACUUUAAGUAUGCAAGUUGUAAACUCGGUCGGCUUUACCGUUCUUAGAAUAUCCUAGAAAAACCCCAUCAUCACUUUUGGAAUCAAACUUGCCUAGAUUUUCUCUAUCCCUCAGAAUGUAGCACAUACUGCCAAAUACACGAAAGUAUUUAACAGUAGGCUUAUUGCCUUUCUAGAUCUCAUAGGGAGUCUUGUCUGUUUUCAGUACCAGGUAUACCCUAUUUACUAUGUGGCACGUUGUGUUAAUGGCUUCACCCCAGAAAUGCAUUGCUAUAUCCUUGCCGUGAAGCAUGGCCCUAGCCAUUUCUUGAAGCACUCUAUUCUUUCUCUCAACAACUCCAUUUUGCUGUGGAGUGGUUGGUGAGGAGAACUCAUGAUUAAUCCCUUCCUCCAGACAGAAGUUUUCAAGAUUGAAGUUUUCCAAUUCUUUCCCAUGAUCACUUCGAACCCUAAAAAUGGAAAGAUUUUGUCCAAUUUUGAGCCUUUUACAUAAGGACUUAACCAUAUCAUCCGUCUUAGAUUUUUCUCUUAAUAGUUCAAUCCAGGUGUAUCUAGAAAAGUCAUCUAUCACAACCAGAAUAUACCGUUUGCCUCCUAGGCUCUCUACUCUAAAUGGUCCUAUUAAAUCCAUAUGGAGAAGUUCUAAGGGUCUAUUUGUCAAUAUUUUCGAGGUUUGCUUAUGGUUUAUCCUGAGUUGCUUUCCUUGUUGACACGGCUUGCACACAACAUUUUCACUUUGAUCAAUCUUAGGUAAACAAUCGACAAUCUUCUUUUUGACCAAUUUAGACAGACUUCUGUAAUUAACAUGAUCUAACCUUUGAUGCCAAAGUUCAGACAUAUCAAUUUUAGCACUACUGUACACAUAGUUCAAGUUUGGGAGAACUCCAUAAUAAUUAUCAGAUGUUCUAACACCUUCAAGAACAAUAACCACCUGUAGGGUCAUAAACAGUGCAUCUCUUUUGGACAAAACUCACUUCAUAGUCAGCAUCACAGAUUUGACUAAUGCUCAACAAGUUGGACUUAAAACCCUCUACAUAUAGCACAUUAGAUAUCGUAGAAAGUCCAGAAAUGGUGAUGGAGCCUUUACCUCGGAUGGGUACCGUAGCUCCGUUCCCAAAGGUAACUACACCACCGUUGCAGUCAUCAAAAGAAGAGAAUAUGGCCUUGUUACCAUACAUGUGUCUAGAACAAGCACUAUCAAGAUAUCACAUGCAUGUAUUUUGAGCCUUAUAUGCUACAUGAGCAACAAAAUAUUUUAGAUUCUCACCAUACUCACCCACAUCAGAUUUCUUUACCUAAACUUUUCUAGAGAUCGAGGUGAUCCUAGUCAAACUUGCUACUAUCUCAGUUAAGUGACUAACCUGAUUUGAAAGGAAGUUUACUUGACUAGGGAUAUCCUAACUUCUAAUCCUAUUUGCUAGCUUUCGAUACCUAGGUCUCGUGUGACCUAAAGCACUGCAAUGAUGACAAGUGGGUAUGAACCUAGGUUCAGAUGCAUGUGAGUGUUGAUCCUGAAAUUUAGGUGUAGAAAUCUUACGGGCUCUAGUGGCCUUUAAUCCAGUGAAAUUCUUAUCUUUGGAUUCUAGAUUGGUUGAAACAUUAGACCUAUUGGAAGCGGGGACAAAUGUGGUCUUAGACGAACUAGACACAUUGCCAUCACUCUUCACAAAUCCUAGGCCUUGCCUAUUUCCAGCUGGUUUGUUCAUUCCAAACAGAUCAUCUAGUUUCUUAGUUCCAGUCAUAAACGAUUGCAGUUGAAUACUGGAUUUCUCUAACUCACAAGUCAGUGUCUUAACCCCGUCUUCUAAUUUCUUAUUGACACACUUCAACUCACUGAGAUUCUUAGAUGAGACUUGAAGAUCAUCUUGAUCUCCAAGAAUCAACGAGGGCUCUGGAAGGUUGUGUUGUGGUGUUUGAUGAAUGUUGAUUUGAUUUUUUUGGGUCAUUGCACGAAUCAAAUAUGGGAUUGAAUGAGAGAAUCAAAGUGUGGAGAGUUUUCUUCAAUUUCAAUCCUUGAGAGAACAUCUGAAAAUCGGCGCAAUUUAAUUUAUAUAAAGUGUAUUUGGACAUUUGGGUCAGGUUAAAAAUUCGAAAAAAGGAAAAUAGGGUUUUCUAGGUAACACCGUCGUUCGAGCGAAAAGCGAGUGACACUGUUUCACUCGAGUGAAAUGGGGGCGAUAAGCGAGCGAUGUCCUUUUUAUUUUUGUCGCUCGAGCGACCAUUUGACGAGCAGCUAGCGAAACUUCAACGACACAUCUUUCCCUACUUCAUAGCUCGAACCCUAACAUACUUUGACAAAACUGUAACUUAGUCCUUCAUCUUUUACACAUGUACAAAUUGACCCCUAACCUUUAAACAUUGACAAAUUGACCACAAACUUUUGAACAUUUACAAAUUUAGCCUUUUGUUCACAGAAUAGCCAACACAAAAUAUAACAGAAUUGAAAUUAUUUUUGAAUUUUGCUAUGUAUGUAUAAGUAAAUUCCUAAUAGUGAUGUUAGAGUUGACACGUGUUUGUUAGAAGUUGUUUUUAAAUCUUGGAACAAUCAAUAGUUGAUUAUUAUUAUUUUUUAUUUAUAGCUUUAAAAAUUUGACUUUCAUUUUCUAAAUUAUACUUUUGAAAAGAAAAUGAACUUUUGGUUAAAAGGAGUCAGAAAGAAGUUGGCAAUGAUGAAGAUGGGCAACAACUGUCGUCAAUCUUAGCUACACCAGUGAACAACGUUGAUGUAAGGCCUUGCGAGACGGUGCUCACUAUAUUGCACUUAUAGCUGCGUUAGGCACCCCUGUCGUCAUGGGAUUGCUAUCGUUAUCAUUGUUGGAUCUUGUAGUAGUGUUGUGCAUUGCUGCUCCUUCCACGGAAGUGCAUCGCCACUUUUAACAAUGGUGGCACACCGUGGUUUUAUCCAAACAAGCAGUGACGACUAUUAGCACCACAAGAAAGGUAUGGAAAAAAGAAAAUUUAAGGGUUUUGAAUCAGUUUUGGGGUUGAGAGCCUCGAUUACAAUUUGUGAAUUUUGAACCUAUGCCUACAAUUUUAUUUCUGGGGUUAUAUUGUAUUUUUGAAAUAAAUGGCCUAUUCUAAAAUUUAAGAGCCUAAUUUUAAUUUAAUAUAGGAUGAGAAUGUAAUUUUUCAAAAGAGUAUUAAAUGCAAUUUUGAAAAAUGAUUUGAAUUUGAUUUUAAAAAUUCUUUUGACCUAAAUUUCAAAUUUGACAGAAAUUUUAAUUUCAAUCCAUUUAAAAUUGUCGACUAAUACCACAAUCUAAGAAUUGUUAUUAAGCAUAAGAAAAUUUGUAAUGUCCUUGAACAACCUUUUUUUAAAGAUACCCACUAAGAAUUCUAGUCAGGAAGAGGUGGCUGUUUAUCUCUAGUCAAGGAUGUUUAUAAUAAACACUGUGAUGAUAAUACUGUAACAUUUUUUUAGAGCUAUGUCACCGGAGUUGUAAAAGCAACAUGAGGGUAUGGAUGCUAACACUAUGAUUUUUCAUGUCAAGGAGUUGUACAAUGAACAAUCAGUUAUGGAAAGAUAUGAGACUCCUAAGCAACUAUAUUGAUGCAAAUGGAAGAAGGAUUUUCAUUAGUACUCAUAUAAUAAAGAUGAUUGGCCACAUUGAGAAGUUGUCUCAAUUGGAUUUAGUCAUGGAUCAUGAAAAAAGUAUUAACUUGAUUAUGCAAUUUCUACCAGAGAGCUAUUUAUAAUUUUUUAUAAAUUUUAAUAUGAAUAAACUCGAGUACACACUCCUCGAGUUGCUAAACAUGCUUAAGAAUAUCGAGCCCAACAUUAAAGUAAGAAGUGGACAAGUCUUGUACAUUGAUUCCUCUGAUGACACAAAGAGGAAAUCUAAAGAAGGCUUUGGGAAGGCAUUUGAGAUGGCUAUGGUAAUCAAAGAAAAAAAGGACAAUACCAAGUCGGAUGACCCUUGCAAUCAUUGUGGAAUUAAAGAUUAUUGCAAGACGAGCUACAAGGCUUACCUUGCGAGCUUGAAGUGAAAGAAGUCUUUUAAAGUUCCUAUUUCAAACAUCUUCGUAAUUAAGGUUAAUAUGUCCACCUUAUUAGUUUUAUGGAUAAUAGAUACCAGAUAUAGAUUUUAUAUUUGUAUAAAUAUGUAGAAACUAAAAGAAAGUAGACGACUAGAAGAAGUUGAUAUGCACAUUGGAAAUAAAGUAAGGGUUGCUACAUUACCUAUAGAAAUAUACUUCUUGUGAUUACCUUCAGACUUAUUAGAGAAAUGUUAUUUUGCUAUCACCAUUACCAAGAACAUUAAUUUAAUUUCAUGUUUUGACAUGAAUUAUUUUUCAAUUAAAAUUAAGGAAAAUAAUUGUUCAUUUUAUCUUAUUGAGAUAUUUUAUAGUUGUGUAAAUUAAAAAUGUCAUUUAUACCCUACAUACUGAGUACUCUAUUAUGAGUAUAGAAGAUAAAAAGCACAGAAAGUUGUAACCUAAAUGAUACAUAUCUUGGGCAUUGCAGAUUUGGUCGUAUAAAUGAAAAACGCAUUUCCAAGUUACGUAGAGAUAGAUAUUUGGGAUCAAUUGAUUUUAAAUUAUUUGACAAAUAUGAAUUAUUCUUAUUAAGCAAGAUUACCAUAUCCUCAUUUACUUGAAAUAGAAAAAGAGUUGUACAAUUACUAGGCCUAUACAUAAUGAUGUAAGUGAACCCAUGUCAAUCACUACUAGAUGAGGUUUCUUUUAUUUCUUCACAUUUACUAUGACCAUUCUAGAAAUGGUUAUGUAAACUUGAUGAAAUUCAAGCAUGGAACUUUUGAAAAAGUUCCAGGAAAUCAAGUUAGACGUAGAGAAAAUAAUAAGGUAAAGGUAAUUUCACACUAUGAUCUACUCAAGGUAAAGAAUGUCUUAAAGGUAAAUUUUUAGAUUAUCUAAAGGAGAAUGAAAUUUUCUUGUAGCGAACUACACCAUAUACACCUAAGGUAUUGGUGUAACUAAAGGGGGAAAAUCACACAUUGUUAGAUACGGUGCUAUCAAUGAUGAGCCUGGGUCUGAUCCUAUACCUAUAGAGAGAUAAGCUCUAGAUCAAGAAGAAAAGACUCCUGAGAACACUGUGGCUCGACGUGAGUCUAGUAGGAUCAUUCGAUCUCCUAGAAGAUAUGAAUUCACGAUUUUUAAUCAGGCAUUAAUAAUCGAGGAUGAUGAAUUUAAUACUUAUGCAAAGCAAAGUCAAAUAUUGACUUAAAGAGAUAAUAGGAGGACUUGAAAUUUGAGAUGAGCUCAGUAUAUGCAAAUAAGGUAUGGACCUUAGUCGACCCACCUGAUGGGAUAAAACCAUAGGCUUUAAAUUUAUUUAUAAGAAAAAGGUUGACUUGGAUGGUAGCAUCCGUAUAUAAAAAGUAAGGCUAGUAGCAAAAAUGUUAUAAAUAAAGACAAGAGUUGACUUUGAUGUAACCUUUUCACAUGUAGCCAUGCUUAAGUUCAUAUGAAUCUUCCUUGUGAUAGCUGCAUACUAUGACUAUAAGAUAUAACAAACGAUGUCAAAACUACAUGUCUUAAUGGGAACUUACAAGAGGAAGUGUACAUUACACAAUAUGGUGGUUUUGAAUCUAAUGAUGUUAACAAUGAAUGCAAGCUUGAACGAUCUAUAUACGAUUAAAACAAGCUUAUAGAGCUGAAGUCUUUGCUUUAAUAAGACAAUAAAAAAGUAUGGUUUUAUUAAAAAAUGAAAACAAACUGAUGCGAUUCAUGGCAUGAAGGAAAGUUCAAGCAAAGAUCUAUUGAUCGUUGAAGAAAGGCUUAUGAUUAGGUCAUGAACAAAGAAAGUUAAAGAAGCAAUGUGACUACUUGCUCGUGCUACAGUGGACGGAACAUUGAUCAUGGCAAGCAAAGGAACAAAACUUGUGUUGGACUUAGGAGAAGAAACAUGAUGGAUCAACUUUGUUCAAACAAUAGACAAAGGAGCUAAAACGAGGCCUAUCCAACUGCAUGGUGCAAAACUACAUGUGGUCUCAUGUAACUAGGCAGAAAAUCCAACUGAGGAGUUCAAUGCUGAAAACCCAAGAAUGACUAACGAAGAGGAGGUAAAUUGAUUAUCUAAAUCUUUUUCGAAAAUAAAUUCAAGUUUAAGCAAUUAGCAAAUAACAAGCAAUAUAACAUAAAAAAACAAGUAGAAGGGAAUAUAAGGCGCAAAUGAUAUAUGGAGGUUCAAUCCAAACAAUGAUCUACGUCCCCUGUUACCAAGCUCUCCGUUAUGAGCAAAGCCUUUUCACUAUGGUUGAUUGACUUGGUGCAAAACAACUCUUACAAUACUUUUGGUGACUUAAAACCAAUGAUUACCUAUCCUUUUACAACAUUGAGCUUCCUAGGACCUCAACCUGACCCACAAUAAAAAAUAAUAAAAUAAAUAUUACAAGUAAAAGCUUCUUUCUUAAUAAAUGAUAUGAACUUAAUUGAGUAUAAAGAGAGAAGUAGGCUUAACACUUCAAUAAAUAGCAAGGAGUGUAGCUCAAGCGCUCGUUGAAAAACUUUGAUUAAGAUAAAAGAUAUUUGCAAGUUUUGAUUACUCAAAAUUUUUUUCAAAAAUCAAUUAAUUUGAUCUUUUAAAGAUUGAGAAACAGGUAGAAAAAGAUCAAUAAAUGCCUCACUUAAAUGCUCAAGAAAGUAUACGAAUAAAUGCAAGGUGAUGGGGUAUUUAUAGUUGUAGAACUAUCAAAAAGUCUGUCCUACAGGACAAGUCAUAUUGGACGUUCACUAUCGUACCGGACGGUUUACUAGCAUUGUAUUUCAGAGUGCUUAAAUUUUUUUUUUUACCAUUGCUUCUAUCGAACAUCUGCUACGGCAUUUUUUAUAAAAAUGUUUCUUCAACGAUUUUGACAAAAGUAAUUACUUUGAAAAACAUUUUUACUUGAUUUUUCAAGAUAAGUGGCAUUUUAUAAUAUAAGAUUGAAUUCGUUAUCUUAAAAAAUAUCUUAUGUAAAUAUUUUAGUGAGAUAAUUUUCCUUAUGUAUAAAACCGACACUUGAGCCUUUUAAGAUUUAUUGCCAAAUAUUGAAGUAUACUACCUUUACAUAUGAGGUUAAAAUGUCUAAAUCUAUAAUCUUCGAUAAGGCUCUUUGUCUUGACGUGCAUGCAAGACAUAUGCUUUUCAUUUCAAUAAAAAUCUUUAUAACUUCGAUUUUACUUUCGUGUCAAUUAUUGCCUUGUUUCAAACUUGGCCUCUUCAAAAUUGAUUUGCAAUUUCUCUAUCAAUACUCGAAUUCAAUUUGUUAGAAACAAAACUCAAUUGUCUAUGAUAAUCAAAAUGAGAAGUCAACCAUAGGUCAACAUAUGCAACCACAUCCAAUAGAACUAUGUGAAUUUUAUAAAAUUUGUGAAAUCUCCUAAUUUAGUCAAAAUUCUGUAUUUUUGGUAUCCUUUUGUAAUCUUUGGAAUUUGAUUUUGUUUUGCCUAAGUUUACAAAAUCUCCUAAUUUAGUUGAAACUCUUAAUUUUUGGUAUCUUUUGUAAUCUUUAGAAAUUGAUUUCUUUUUAACUAGGUUUACAUGAGUUCAUUAUAUAUAAAACUCAUUAUAUUCAUUAUAGAACAAUUUUGAUAUAAUUUGAUAGAUUAAUUUGUGAGCAAAUUUGCUUUUAAUCUUUGUUCAUCGUUGAACUAAUUUUGAACAUAUCAUAUUUAUUUAUUGUGACGUUCAAAUAAUUCGGGUGAGAUUCUUGAAUCUUGUGAUUACAGGGUCAACAUAUUCUCUGUGAUUGUGUUCGUUCGUUGGUUCAAUAUUUUUGGAUCAAGCUCUAAACAUCAAAUCUUGGUUUUCUUGGGUUUGAAUCAAUCUUGUACAGAUUUCAUAGCUAUUAUUGCUACACGGGUUCAUACUAAUUGGUACUAGAGCCUAGUCCAAAAAUAGGAUCAUAUCAUUGUCCAUUUUGUUUGAGUCUUCUAUUUUGUUUUGUUUUCAUUCUUUACACUUUUUCUUGUUCUUCACGCUCUUUGACUUUUGAGUCUUUAAUCCGUAAAAAUACAAAAAAAUUUCCAGAAGUUGUUUGUGUGCUAAUUUAGCACCCAAAUCAAUUUCUUUUCUUUUGCUGGUAUUGUAGUUGAAUUUUCGGGUAAAAAUUUCAAAUUUAAACAAAAUUCUGGAAAUUGUCAACAGCAUACAAUUUAUUUUUUUUAGUUGAAAAAAGAAGAAGAAGAAGGAGAUGUCCAAUCAAAAGUUAAGAACCACUUUCUUGGAUUUCUAAGUUAUAAUUUUUCGCUCACAUUAUAGUUUAAAUUUUUCGAGAAUAAAACUUGGUUGAGACCAAAUUUUUUUUUUGAAGUACUUGCGGGAAAGCAUUAAGUGGAAAAGGGCAAGAGUGGUGAGACUAAUAGAGGGAUAAAGCCAAAUAUGGGUGAUACACAAGUGCAUAGAUAUAAGGCAAAUCUUACUUUAGAUUUAGGAUGUCUCACAGAAACAAUUAUACUUCAAGUGGGAAUAAUAAUCAAAUCAACAUGUUGGAUGUGAUGACACGAAGGUUCGGGAGGCUGUUUGAAGAUGUUAGAGACAAGUUGGAUAGGUAAGAGGUGUGUAUAGAGAGAUAAGACCCAUUGCCUACUAAUUUACAUGAAGAACAACCUAGAGGAGUUCCUAGUGCAAGGAGGCAAGGUAGGCGAAAGUCUAGGAUGGAGAUUUGUGGGGGAAAGAAUUGAGGAUAGAGGAGUUAGGCAUGAAAUGAGGCAUAGAGAUCUUGUUGGGAGAUGAAGUCGAUAAAAGUACGGGCAAUAUCAAAAUGAUAAUUCGCUCAUUCAAAGAAAGGAGUGAUCCAGAAGCGUACUUGAAGUGUGAGAAGAAGCUAAAGUUGAUAUUUGAUUGCCAUAACUACUCCAAGGAUAAAAAGGUAAAGAUUGCUAUAUUUGAGCUUACUAGUUAUAUUAUUACUUGGUGAGGGAGUGAAAUUUAAGAAGAUGAAUCGUGAGAGACUUAUUAAUACAUAGGAAAAAUUAAAUGCUAGAAUGAGGAAGUGGUUCGUGCCUAAUCAUUACUAUAAGGAGCUUCAUAAAAAAUUGCAAACCCUCUAUCAUGGUUCCAAGAGUGUGGAGUAUUAUCAUAAGGAGAUGGAGAUUGUUAUGAUUAGAGCGAAUGUUGAGUAGGAUAGAGAGGUCACCAUGGCCCAAUUUUUAAAUGGUCUGAAUAGUGAAAUAGCUAAUGUAGUGGAACUACAACAUUAUGUGGAGUUGAAGGACAUACUAUAUGUAGCUAUGAAGAUGGAAAGACAAUUGAAGAGGAAGAGGACAACUGGAUAUUCAUCGGGUUCUAGUCUUUCUUGGAAAUAAAAAUGGGAUAAUAGCAAGGGAGCUGAAGUUAUUUCAAAGAGCAAAACUAAACUACAAAAGGGAAAAUAUGAAAUUUCUAGCAUGGUCACAUCCAAGGCAAAAUCCCAACCAUCUAGAAGUUAAGACAACAAAUGCCUUAGUUGCUUGGGAUUGGGACACAUUGUGUCUUAAUAUCCAGACAAAAGGACAAUGAUUCUGCUAGACAAUGGAGAAGUGGUGAGUGAUAGUGAGGAUGACUACGAUGACAUGCCGGCAUUGGAAGAAGCUAGUGAUGGUGAGAAGAUGGAGUAUGAGGUGGAUAUUGGUUACGAUGAGAGCUUUUACUGCUCAAAUCAAAGUAGAUGACUUGGAGUAACAAAGAGAUAACACAUUCCAUAAAAGGUGCCAUAUCAACAACAAGGUAUAUAGCAUGAGUAUUGAUGGAGAUAGUUGUAGCAAUGUGGCUAGCACUACACUUGUUGAGAAAUUAGGGUUAACCAUGUUAAAACAUCCUAAGCCUUACAAACUAUAAUGGUUGAAUGAAUGUAGAGAAGCUAAGGUGAACAGAAGAGUAUUGGUGAGUUUCUCAAUUGGGAGAUAUUAUGAUGAAGUGAUGUUUGAUGUAGUUCCUAUACAUGCCGGGUACAUUACGAAGGAUGGAAAAUCUAUUACUCUUGCACAUUAAUACUAGCACAAGUGUAUGAGAUCAAAUCAAAUUGAAAAGUGAAGAAAAAAAUAUUAAGAGAAAAAUAAAGGAAGAGAGAAGAAUGUGAGGGGGUUAGUAGUGAGAAAAAAAAGAGUAGAACCACAAAGAGAAAAUUAAAAAGUCUUCCAAGAGGAUAGAAAAGUCAAGAGUAAAUUUCUUUCCAAAAGGAAGUGAGCUGAAGAUGGUAGUAGUUGAGAAGCAAUCUAUGAUCUUGUUGGAUUAUAAGGAGUCACUUCUCAAUCUUGAGGAAUCUAACAUACCUCUCCCUAGUUUGGCCACUUUUUUGUUACAGGAAUUUGAAGGUGUAUUUUUCGGAGGACAUGUAUAGUGGGUUACCAUCCAUUUAAGGCAUUGAACAUCAAAUUGAUUUUGUAUAUGGAGCUAUCAUUACAAAUAGACGGGCUUAUCGAAAUAAUCUUGAAGAGACCAAGGAACUUUAAAGGUAAGUGGAGGAAAUGAUGAGUAUGGGGAAGGUAAAGAAGAGAAUGUGUCCAUGUGUCAUGCCAGUGCUACUUAUGCCAAAGAAGAGAUGGAACCUUGAGGAUGUGUGUGGAUUGUCGUGCCAUCAACAAUAUAACAGUAAAGUAUCGUUAUUCUAUUUCUAGGUUAGAUGAUAUGAUAGAUAAAUUACAUGGCUCCUCAUAUUUAAUAAAAUUGUUUCAAAAAUGGUUAUCUCCAAAUUAGGAUGAGGGAAGGAGAUGAAUGAAAAAUUGCUUUUAAAACUAAAUAUGUGUUGUAUGAGUGGUUAGUCAUGUCAUUUGGACUUACUAAUGCACCUAGCACAUUUAUACAAUUAAUGAAUCAUGUUUUACAUGCAUUCAUAGGUAAAUUCGUAGUAGUUUACUUCGAUAACAUCUUGGAAUAUAGUAAAGAUCUAAAUGAACAUAUACGACAUUUAAGAUGUAUGCAUGUGGUCUUAGGACAAGAACAACUUCACGCUAAUAUUAAAAAGUGUACAGUUUGCAUGAAAAAGUUGUUUCUCUUGGAAAUGUUGUUAGUGCAAAGGGGACAGAAGUGGAUGACGAGAAAAUCAAGGCUAUCAAGGAAUGACCAACACCAAAAAGCAUUACUGAGGUAAGAAGUUUUCACGGUUUGGUUAGCUUCUAUAAAUGUUUUGUUAAAGGCUUUAGCACAAAUGCCACACAACUCAUUGAAAUUGUCAAUAAAAGUGUAGGAUUUCAAUGGGGCAUUGAACAAUAACAUGUAUUUAAUACUAUUAAAGAUAGGUUGUGUAAGGCAUCGAUAUUAUCAUUUUCUAACUUAAACAAAACUUUUGAGAUUGAAUGAAAUGCCUGAGGGAUAGGUAUUAGAGCCGUUUAAUGUAGGAUAGAAGCUCAACAGCUUAGAUUAGUGAGAAGUUAAGUUGAGCAACUAUCAAUUAUUCUACAUAUGACAAGAAGUUGUAUUUACUUGUUUGGGCCUUGAAAACAUGGCAGCACUUCCUAUGGCCAAAGGAGUUUAUGAUUCACACCGAUCAUGAGUUCUUAAAGCAUUUGAAGAGUAAAGGUAAGCUAAACAAGAGGCAUGCAAGGUGGGUGAAGUUUAUUGAGAUAUUUCCAUAUGUCAUUCGAUAUAAACAAUGUAAAGAAAAUGUGGUAGGAGAUGCUUUGUCAAGAAGAUAAGUACUUCUAACUUCUUUGGUGUUAAAUUGCUGGGAUUUGAAUAAGUUAAGGACAUGUAUGCUAUUGACCCGAAUUUUUCUAAUAUAUACGAAUUAUGUGAUAACAGUGCUAUAGAUUGAUUCCUUUGGCAUGAUGGAUAUUUAUUUCGGGAAAACAAGUUGUAUGUUCCUAAAUGUUCAAUGAGAGAAUUGUUAGUACGUGAAGCACAUAGUAGAGGUUUAAUAGGUCAUUUUGGGGUUAAUAAGAACUUAUAGAUGCCAGAGGAACAUUUUUAUUGGCUUAAGAUGAAAAUUGAUGUUGAUAGGGUUGGUAGUAGAUGCAUCACUUGUAUAAAGGAUAAUUCUAAAGUUUUACCUCGAGGGUUGUGUACACACUUACCUGUUCUUAGUGAACCUUGGGUUGUUUGUGCCUAUAGACUUUGUAUUGGAUUUACCUAUGACUAAUAAAGGAAGAGAUUCCAUAUUUGUGGUGAUAGAUAGAUUUAGUAAGAUGACACAUUUCAUUCUAUGUCAUAAAACUGAUGAUGCCACCAAUAUUGCGGAUCUAAUCUUUAAAAAAGUAAUGCAAGUCACAUGAGAUUCCUAGGAGCAUUGUAUAUGAUAGGGAUGUUAAAUUUCCUAGUCACUUUUAGAGGAUUUUAUGGAAUAAGUUAGGCACCAAGUCAUUAUUUUCUACUACUUGUCACUCACCAACCGAUAGACAAACUGAAGUUGUUAACAAGACCAUGAUACAAUUGUUAUGUACUAUAGUUAAUAAGAAUUUGAAGAGUUGAGAAGCGUGUUUACUAUUUAUUGAAUUUGCAUUUAAUAGGGCCAUGUAUUCUACUACUUUUUGUUUACCCUUUGAAAUUGUUUAUAGUUUUAAUUCAAUAACACUUUUGGAUUUAAUUCCUUCACUUGUUGAUGAAAGAGGUAGCUUAGACGGAAAAAAGAAGGCCGAUUUGGUGAAAUCACUCCACAAAAAGGUCAGAUUGCAAAUUGAGAAGAAGAACAAGCACUAUGUUUCUCAAGUAAACAAAGAAUGGAAGAGCAUUACAUUUUGAACCCAGUGUUUGCAUUUGGGUACACUUUAGAAAGUAACACUUUCUAAAACAAAGAAAAUCGAAGUUGUAACCAUGGGGAGAUAGUCCAUUUCAAGUCUUUGAAAUGAUCAAUGAUAAUGCCUACAAACUAGAUCUUUCGGUUGAGUAUAAUGUUUUGGCUACUUUUAAUGGUUUUGAUCUUAUUCUCAUUGAUGUAGGACAAGGAGGUGAUGAUAUGAUCCAUGGCACGAACGCAAGUCCAAACAAGGGUCCAUUGAUUAUUGAAGAAGGGCCUCUAAUCAAGUCGUGAGUGAAAAUGGUUAAAGAAGUGAUGGGAUUACUUUCUCAAGCGACGGUAGACGAAACAUUGAUCGUAGUAAACAAAGAAACAAGAUAGUGUUGGACUUGGGAGAAGGAACAUGGAUGGAUCAACUUUGUUCAAGCAAUAGAUAGAUGAGCUGAAAAAGGGCCUAUGCAAAUGCAUAAUGCAAAACCACAUGCGGCCAUAUGUAACCAGGCAAAAAAUCUAGCUGAAGAGUCGUAUAGUUUAAAUUGUACGCAAAUUUUUUCAAAAUUCGUGAAAUCUCCUAAUUUAGUUAAAAAUAAAUAUUUUUGGCAUCUUUUGUAAUCUUUAGAAAUUGAUUUUGUUUUAACAAGGUUUACAAGAAUUCCUUAUAUAUAGAACUCAUUAUUUUCAUUGUAGAACAAUUUUGAUACAAAUUGAGAGACUAUUUUGUAAGGAUAUUUUGCUUUUAACCUUUAUUUUUCAUUGAACUAAUCCUAAACUUGACAAAAUUUAUUUCUUGUGGUGUUCAAAUAAUUCAGGUAAAAUUCUUGAGUCUUAUGAUCACGGGGUCAAUAUAUUGUCGACGAUUGUGUUGGUUCUUUGGUUCAAUAUUUUUGGAUCAAACUCUAAACAUUGAUUAUUGGCUUUUUUGGGUUUGAAUCAAUCUUGUGUGGGUUUCGUAGCUACUAUUGCUACAUGGGUUUGCAUCACAAACCGUGUUCGCAAGAAUAAAAGUGGGAAAGCUACCAUACUCAUAAUAUUGUAUGUGGAUGACAUAUUAUUAAUGAGUACCGACAAUGUUAUGCUUCAUUCGGUGAAAUUAUGGUAGUCAAAGAAUUUAUUCAUGAAAAAUAUGGGAGACUAUAGAGAUAGACCUAGAAUGUUGCUUGUCUCAUCCUAAUCUACAUAGAAAAAAAUCUUAAGAAGAUUUUAUAUAGAGAAAAUGAAUGAGAGUUUAUGGACAUAAUGAUGCUAACUUUCAAUCAGAUUAGGAUAAUAGUAGGAUAUGUGUUUACUUUUAAUAAUAGAGCAUUUAGUUGGAAAGAUUCUAAAUAGAAAAUAAUUGUUGAUUUAAUAAUAGAAGCAUAAUAUAUCACUGCUUCAGAAGUGACAAAUGAUUGUGGUCUAGAUCAAGAAAUUUAUUAAUGAACUUAGAGUAGUUUCUAAUAUUGUUGAUCCUCUACGUAUGUAUUGUGAUAACAAUGGAGUCAUUGCGUAAGCAAAGGAAGUAAAAUCUCGUUAAUGAUCCAAACAUGUGUUAAGGCAAUAUUAUAUCUUAUUAGAGAAAUCAUAUGAAAAAAUGACAUAAAGAAAUGUUGAGUUCUCAGAAGUGAUAAAAUUCCAUUAAUAAAGAGUUGUCGCAGUAUAAACAUGAUUGUUAUGUAGACUCUUAUAGUAUUAGAUACAUUAAGCGACUAGAUCCAGUGCAAGUGAGAGUUUGUAAGUUUUAUGCACUAGGGUCCAAUCGAUUUUGAACAUAAACACUUUCAAUAUGAUUAAUACAUAAUUAUUUAUGUUGAACAUAUUAUUUAAUUAAAUUAUUAUUUUUACAAUUUAAAUUAAAAGAGUCAAUAGAUUCAAUUCUAAGUAACUUGUUAAUCACAAGGAGUUUUGAUUGUGAAGAACAAAUUACGUAUGACCUAAUUUUAAAUUAUCCUUGAUCGUAAGUAAUAAAGAGAUAUAGAUGUCGUUAUUAUGGAUAAACACAUGUCGCAUUUCUGAUUUAUGAAAUGAGUAGCUGACCUCACAAGUUAAGAUGUAGUGAUAUUUAAAUGAAUGUAUGGAUGUUUUAUUAAUAGAAUAAAAUAUUGAAGGCUCAUUGGAGAUAAUCUACUUGGAUAACUAUUUGAGCAUUAAUGAUUAAUCUUUAAUAUUUGGUAGUGAAAUUAAUCUUUCGACUUUGAGAUUAUCAUAGUGCUUUAUAUGAGGACAUUUAUACUUAAGUGAUAUUGGAUGUUGCUUCGACAAUAAUCACUAAUAUGAUGUCGUUUGGAUAUGUUAAUAAUCAUAUGAAGUUUAUGAAUGAUCAAUAGAUGAUAUAGUAAGAGUUUAUAAUUUACAUUUCAUUUGGUUAAAUUGAAUAAAGAAAUCCUCGGCCAAGAUGAGUUCAUAAGUCCCAAAGAAUUUCGAUGUUGAUCGACUUAAGAGUGAGAUAAAAAUAUGAUUGAUAUAGAGAUUAACACAAAUCCAUAUAUCAUAAUUGAUAUGAUCACACUAAUGAAAGGAUUCUAGUUUCACAAUAAACUAAUAAGUUUGAUUUUGUCAUACCACAUGAUAUUUCUUGUUACAUAUAUUGUCCUAACACAUUGCUAAUGGAUGUAAAUUAAUUAAUCUAGAUGUAUUAAUAAUAAUUUGAAAGAAAGUUUAUUUUAAUUAGAUCAAAAUAAUAAUUCACGUCGUCCGACAUCAUGAUUAAAAACUAAUGGGUCACACACAAAUUAAAACUGGAGAAAGGAUGUUAUGAAUUAAUUAAUUGACACCUGUGGACAUUUGUAGAAUUAAUUAAUUAGAUUGUUUAUUGGGCUUAAGUUAAUUGAUUGGAUUAAUUACCUUAUGGACCAAGUUUAAUUAAUUGGGUUAAUUAAAUAUUGGGUCUAAUUAUCUUUACUGGGUAGGUCAAUCUCACUUAAAACAUCUAUAAAUAAACAAUUAGGGUUUGAGUUGUCACAAAAGCAAUUGAGAUUGCAAUUACAAUAUAACACAUUUCACAAUAUUAUAAUUUUAAUAGCCCAGGAAAGAAAAACCUCAAUCUCUUAUUCUUAUUCUCAUGUGUCAUAUACAUCUCAAAAGGACAUAUUAACACCACUCCUCGUUUUGAUAUCCCCAUUCCACCACUGAUGUUCCAUCAUCCUCUAUAUCAGCUCCAUCGUCUUUGUUGUUCUAUUCAUGCAUCUGCCUCUAUUCCUAUUGACCCUCUAUAGCACUCAUGGGAUAGAUGACUUGUUGAUUCAACAUCAAGCUUGCAUGAUGGUUGAGAUCAUACAGUUGUGAGUCACUACUAAGUGUCAUACAACGGAGUUUACUACACUCCAUGGAGCGAUAACGUGUGCUUAGCGUGGGAUUUGAUCAAUUCGUGAGCAUUAGAAUGAUGAUGCCGAUGGUUUUAGUGAGGCCGCUGAUGGAAUCGCCAUGCAAUAACUCAUAUAGAAACUUGCGUUGUUCAUGGGCCUACUAAUAUUAUAAAUGUUCACGUAGAACUCCUAGACAAGGAGACUAGGUGAGAAGACAAUUAAAGAAGUAAAGUCUCCUACCCUCACGAAGUGAAGAUGGAGCAAGAUCAGGGGAUAGAAAAGAAUUACCUUACGCUUCACUAGAAUAGGGCGUAAGGAAAACUGAGUCCCAAAGAUAUCUUUGGCAGUAGUUGAGAUGAAUCUGGACCUACUAUAUGAAGCCAACAUAUCGGAUGCCUGUGUAGUAGUCCUCACUUUUUGAGCUCCAUCUAUGACAAGGUUAUAAUAGAAUGACAUUAAUAGAUGCAACUAAAGGACUAUGUACCUCUUUGAACAAUGAACUAAUGAUAUGAAUGGAUGCACGUGAAAUGAGACAAAUAAGUCAUAUAUAUGCUAAAUGGUGCAUAUAUACUCCACAAACACCAAAAACUAUCAUAAGAGCGCACAACUAUGUAAAAUUGUGUAAAGCAUGCAAAACAGUGCGGAAAUGACCAAUUCAAGCAGCAUAAUACGAAAAUUGACCGGUGCACCAAAGAAAAUGCAAAACCUAACAAUGCAAGACAUAACCAAUGUACACAAAGCAAUGCAAGAAUCAAAGGGAAAACACUUGUAAACACAAGGGACCAAAAAAGAGACGUUACGCAUGGCUGAAGGUUGUACAAUGCAAGGAUUGAGGUACAAUGGUGACAUGACAUAGGUGUGGAGUGGUGCUUAGAUGUAGGGAGACAUGAAAUCUAAACGAUAGAUGCAGUAUAGAUGUAUGCAUUGAUGCCCGAAACACAAAAAAAAUAAAAUAAAAUAAAAUAAAACAACAAAAACAAAAAAACAAAAGCAAAAACAAAAACAAAAACCCUAAAAAAUCAAAUAAGGUGAAACUUAGGGUUUAAUGAAUUUCGUACCUUUAAUGCAAAGAAAUAGGAAAAUUGAUGAUGUUAUGAUCCUCUAAGGAGGAAGAAAUCACGUAAUAUAAGGUUCAAGUACUUGGGUGAGGCAAAAAUGUUUUGAAGAUUGAGAGAGAUUGGAAAAAAAAUGAGUUUUGUGCCUUGCGAAGGAAUUCAAAUACAGGCUUUGUCGCUCGAGUGAGAGGAGAGUGCUGGGCUAGUGAUAGAGCCUCUACUUUUAAUGCUUGAGCGAGCUUCAGCGCCAACUGGGCAAAAAUCAUUUUCACAAAAAUAGCACCAAGUACUUGAAAACUUCGAAAUAUAGAAGUUUUUUAAUUCAUGGCACACACUCCAAUAUGCAUGGUAACUUAAAAAUGAAAAUGAUUGCAAGUAAGACAUAAUCAAUGAACAGAAAAACUUUCCCACAUACACGAUCAGGGUUAAAUUUAGUAAACUGUAUACAUGACCCAUGUGUAAAAAGUGUCACUAAUUCCUUAUUAGUACGACUCUAAACUUUAGAUUUGUGAGAAGGGAUAUACUAAUCAUUACCGUAGGCUAAGUAUUUUCAUCUGGUAAUGAAAAGAAAAUCUAGCACUACUAGGAACUUUUAAGUAAAAGCCCAAAUUUAUUCUUGCAGUGUAUGCAUUUUAUUUAUCCCUCUAUCAAUAAGCAUUAAUCAUUUUUUUAAUUGUUUAUUUUAUUUUUAUCAGUAAGCAAAAUCUUAUGUGUAAUCUCAUCUUCAUUAACCAACCGAGAUGAGCCCUCCAACGAGCUUUGGACCGAUUACUCCAACUUAAUUAACAAUAAGGCAUCAGGUUAUGAGAACCCCUCAAGCUUAAUUGCUCGAGUCAAAUGGGUUCUGAAGACAAGUAUAAGAUAAAGUUCACUUUGUACUAUAUGGCAAAUUUCUAGUAAGGGUAAUAUACUAGAGUCUUAGGUCAAACUAGUUACAGAUCAAUUCAUGUUCAACACCACCGCACCCACAGAUGACUAGCAUCCCAAAUCUCAUACAUGAAGAUUCACUUACAAAAUUAAAACCAAUAUAAAAACAACCUUCUUAAGUGCUCUUUCUAUCAUCGACAAUUCCAGCCCAAUUGACAUUAGAAUAACUAGCAAGAUCAAGAUUAGUGUAUCUAGAGUACAAGAUUUCAUGAUCUAAGGUGCCAUUUACAUAACAAAUGAUGUGCCUGGCUACACUCUGCUAGGAUUCCUUAGGAUCAGCCUGAUAUCUCACUUAUAGCCCAUCAAAAAAUCAAUGUCAGGUAUACUGGUAGUAAAAUAGAAUAAACUACCAAUCAUAUUCCUAUCUAGUGUUUGAUCAACACCUUCAACCUGAGUAUAUCCUUGGGUAAACUAGCCUUAUCCCUAGUUAUGGUGCCUUCAUUAUCGGUCUUAUUUCUAAAUAUCUACUUAGUACCUGUAACAUUACAAUUGUCAAGCCUAGGUACCAAAUGCCACACAUUGUUUCUCAUGAAUUAAUUCAGUUCCUCAUGUAUUACAUUUACCCAACAUUCAUCACUAAGGGCAUCUUCUACUUUCUUAGGCUCAAUCUGGGAUACAUAGCUUGCAAAUGUCAUGUUAUUCAUAACCUUCUUACGAAGUCUCAUCCCUUUAUCUAAAUCUCCAAUAAUAUUGACCUUAGGAUGAUUAGAAUUAACUCUAGAUGAAGUUUCUCUAGAAGGUUUGGAUUUGUCACUAGGAGAUUGCUCUUCAUCGAGAGUUUCUAGACCUUUAAGUGAGUGUUGGGGUUUGGGAAUUGAUUUUUCUUUUAGUUCAGUUAUCAUGAUUGGAUCUACACGAGUGAUCUAACUCAUACCAAUCUACUACAAUCUCUCCCUCACUAAAAGUAUCAUCUAUCACAACAUUUAAGGACUCUAUCACAACUCGGGUAAGAGAAUUGUAUACACGAUAGGCUCUACUAAUCCUAGAGUAUCCAAGAUAGAUUUUCUCAUCACUUUUAGAGUCAAACUUGCCCAAGUUCUCUCCAUCUCACAGAAUAUAGCACACACUUCCAAACACAUAAAAGUAUUUAAUAGUAGACUUUUUACCUUUCCAAAUCUCAUAUGUUGUCUAAUUAGUUUUAGUUCUAAUAUCUUCCUUGUUCACUAUGUGACACGUAGUGUUAAUGGCUUCAACUAGAAAUGCAUUACUAGUCCCUUGCCAUGAAAUAUGGCCUUAGCCAUUUCUUGAGGCACAUAUAACUACUCCAUUUUGUUGUGGAGUGAUGGGUGAGAAUAACUCAUGCUAGAUUCUCUCUUCUAAAUUGAAGUUCUCAAGGUCAGAGUUUCGAACUCUUUCCCACGAUCACUUUGAAUUCUAAUUAAGUUGAAAUUUUUCUCAUUAAUAAGCCUCUUGGACAAGGAUUUAAUGAGGUCAAAUAACUUAGAUUUUUCUUUUAACAACUCAAUCCAUGUGUACCUAGAGAAAAUCAUCUACCACAACCAAAAUAUAAUGUUUACCUCUUAGGUUCUCAAUCAUAGAUGGUCCCCUCCAUAUAGAGUAUUCUAAAGGCCAAUUUGUCAAGAUGUUAGAAGUUUGUUUGUGAUUUACUCUAAAUUGUUUACCUUGUUCACAUAGUCCACAUAUAGUGUUUUCAAUUUGUCCAAGUUUAGGUAGAUCAUCAAUAAGUUCUUCUUAGCCAACUAUGAAAAACUCUUUAUUGUUCAUAUGAAUGAGUUUUUGAUGCUAAAGCUUAGUCAUUUCAAUCUUAGCGCUGCUACACGCGUAGUUCAAAUUUGGAAUAACUUCAUAAUAGUUUUCAGAAGUUUUUACCCUUUCGAGGAUGCACAUAUUCCUCCGGGGGGACGAUUGGGAUGAGGGCAUAAGGGUCUUUUGGUAUAUGAAGAUAUUUAUACUUUUUUUCAUAUACGGAAAUAUGAGAUUCAAUGUUGUCGGUAGGAUCAUAGAUAGUAUUCUUUUUUUUGGAUAAAACUAACCUUAGAAUCAUUAUCACACAUAUGACAAUGCUUAACAAGUUAGACUUAAACCCUUCACUUAAAGUACAUUUGAUACAAUGGGUAGUCCAGAUAUAUUGAUGGUACCUUUACCAAGGAUAUGCAUUAUAGACUCGUUUCAAAAGAUAACCAGACCACUAUUCCAAUCAUCAAGAGUAGAAAAUAGGGCUUUAUUUCCACACAUAUGUCUAGAACAUCCACAAUCAAGAUAUCACAUGGAGUUAUUUUGAGCUUUAAGUGCGACAUGGACAACAUAGGGAGAUCACUUUUCUUAUCCCAAGCCUUCUAAGAUGUGGAGGUAAUCCUAGUCAAUUCCUUAAUCAUCUCAGUUAGGUAAUAACCUGAUGGGUAAGAAAGUUAACUUGGCUAGAAAUAUCCUGACUUCUCCUUCUAUUAACAAGUUUAUGACACCUAGCCUUGUGUGUCCUAGAACGAAACAAUUGUCACAGAUAGGAAUAAAUAUAAGUUCAAAGUUACGUGAUUGCUAAUAUUGGUUUCUAGGUAGGUUGUUCCUACGUGAUCUAGUAGGCCUCUGUCCUAAGACUCCAUUUUGCUUGGGUUCAGGAUUAGCAACAUUUCUAGGUUUGUUGGUAGCUAGGAUAAAUGUGGCCUGGGAUGUAAUAGCAGUGUUCUUAUCAAUUUGAAUAUAUCCUAGACCUUGCCUGUUUCCAGAUGUCUUAUUCAUUCCUAAUAGAUUAUCAAGUUUCUGAGUACCACUUAUGAAUGAAUGGAGUUGUGUAAUGGAUUUUUUUAGAUCGCUUGUUAAUGUUUUAGCCUUAGUUUCUAAUUUAUCAUUGACAAGUGACAAUUCACUAAGAUAUUUAGAAGAGUCCUAAAGAUUAUCUAUGAGUCUUUCUUUCUCUCUCUCAAGUACAUUAACCUUUCUCAACACAGCUUUAUUAACCUUUUUAAUCUUAAUAUUCUCCUUGAACAACUGUUGACAAGCCUUAUGAAUAUCUAUCUCAUCCUCAAAGUCUUCCUCAUUGUACUCAGUACGCUCUUGUUGCUCAACCUUUUCACUCUCCUUAUUUGAUCAACUCUUGGCUAUAGACACAAAUGUCGUAUAGUUCCUUUCAUUCUCACGACUAGAGAAAUCAAUCUAAUCACUAGAAUUAUUUUCAUCAUCAGUUAGUGACACUACCAACGCCUUACCAUUUCCUUUAUUCAGGUUCUUCUUAUAGUUGGGAUAUUCAUCCUUAUAGUGAUAAAAAUCCUGACACUCAUGACAUCUGACCGAUUGAGAUUUUUUAAUAAAACUUUGUUUCUUUGAAAUUUACUAGGAUUACCAUUCUUCCUCUCUUGAGGUUCUCUUAUUCCUAAGGACUUUCAGAAAUUGCUUCACAAAAUAAGGUACCUCAUCAUCCUUAUGGGUCUCUGUAUCAGCUGAUUCAUACUCUUCUUUUUCACUGCUAUUCAAGGCUAUAAGAAUUAUUUUUCUUCAAAUGAGAUAUAAUGAGUUCAUAGGUUUGAACGGAUCCUACAAGUUCCUCUAUCUUGAUUUUAUCUAUGUCCUUACUCUUCUUAAUUACAGUAAUCUUGGGUCUUGGUUACGCCCAAAGUAUAACGCGGUGAUUGUAGUACAGCUUUGGGGUGUCGUAUCCACAGGGAGAUGGAAAUUUUCUCAAAAAAUCAAACAAACUAGGGUUUUCGUAAUUUUAUGUGGGAAUGAUUUGUCACUUGGAAUAAAAAUUAAUUAUCAAUAUGCGACAUAAGUGAAGCGUCGGAAUUCCCCCAAUUGGAUUGGAUCAAUCGUCAUCAAUAAUUUAUGUAUUUUUCCUCAAUUAGAGAUUUUCUUCCCAACUCUCUAAUCGGAAUAUUUAACAAUAAAGUCCAAUUUAAUUCCAAUUAUAUUGCUAGAAUCUAGAUUUUCUAUAACACAUUCGCACAUUUUUUUAUUGGAACAAGAUCAAAGAUCGACCAUAUACAUCAAGCAUAAGGUAGUAAUCAAUUCGCCAAUAAAGUAACAUUAAGAUUAAAAUUCAACAAUUAUUUCAAUCAUUUGAUAGAAGGAACAUGGCUAGAUCUAUGAAGGAUUUGAUAAAAGUUAAAAUAAUCUCAACAAUAAAUAAUUCAAAUUGUAAUUCAACAAGUAUUUCGAAUAUUCGAUAGAGAAAGCAUGACUGAAUCUAUGGAAAUUCUAAUAAUUGUUAAACUAAUGUCAAAAACAUAUUCAAGAUAUGGAAAUUCGAUUCUAAAAUUGUUUAAUAAUGAAAAACUCAAUUACAUGAAUUAAAGAUGUCGAAAUCACUAAAACUGAUUGGGGUCCUUCAUUGCUUCACCAAGUUCCUUAGUUUUCCCUGGAGUUUCUUGAGCACCAAGAUGAAAGAAAUAGGUCUGGGGGCGUCUGCCUUCGUUCUGGGUGGUUUUGGGCAUUUAUAUCCCGUGAAAAUUAGGUUACCAUAAGAGAUUCAGUCGUAUGAAGAAACUGAGAUUCGGCCCCCCAAAAAACACUCUGUGAACGCAUGGUUAUUGUCAUUGCGGUCGCAUGGUUAUGCACUUUCAGCCUCUUCAAUUCUCGGUAUAGGUGUGUGUGACCGCAUAGUAGAAAGGCAUGCGACCGCAUGUUCCGCCAGACAGCUUUUAGUGUUUUAAUCAUAACUUUCUUUCCCGAUGUCCAAUUGAGAUGAUUCAAGUUGCAUUGGAUAGCUAACUCAAAGGGACACAAUUUCUAUUCAGAAGCCAUCUCCCAAUUCGAUCAUCUUCCAUGUCAAAAAUGGGUCCCAACAUGAGACUAAAAACUGGUGUGUUAGUUUUCGAUUGGAAAUUGAUGUAUUGAUCAAACUUUGACGUUAUUUCAUCCCUUUGACUUCUUUCCUCAUCUACUUGACCUCUAACACUUUCAAAUCUUCAUCAUAAUCUUAGACACAAGUUUGGAUCAUUUGCACUUUAGUCUCCGAACUUUCGUUCUCUUCUACUUUGGUCAUUUUUCACUUGUUUCUUCCGAAUUUCAUCUUUUUCACCAAAAUGCAACCUAAACCAAAAUAUAAGAGUAAUGAGUGCAUUUUGGCAUAAUAUAAUCACAUGAAUGCAAUAGUUAAGAGGGGAAAAUAUGGUAUUUUACACUCUUAUCAGGUCUAAAUCUUUCAGAUAAAGAUCUGAGGAUUUUUCGUACAAUUUUUGACUCAGGAAUUCUCUCAGCUAGGUUGAAUGUAGAGUUCACUAGUCAUUUAACUUCACAUAGAAUUCAUCGAACAAUUCAUCAUCCUUCAUUCUGAUUUCUUCAAACUUAGAGGUCAAUAUCUGUAGUUUAGAGUUUUUACAAUUUAGGUUCCCUCGUGUGUGAUCUCUAAAAUAUCCCAAACUUCUUUUGCAAUUUAAUAUAUCAACACUUUCCUAAACUCUUGAGCAGACAUAGCUAUAAAAGAGUAUGAAGCCCUUUACUACUCCAGUUGCACUUAGUUACUACUCCAUGUUGUUAUGUUCGUUGUCACCAUUAUAUGUGACUUUUAGAGAUACUAUUGUCUAUAGUUGGGAUAUUCUCACGGUGGAGGAGGUCUAUGAUGCCAUACUAUCUAAGGAGAAGAUGAGGCAUUUUGUUGAAGGAUCUGAGAGUUAGGCUGAGGGCUUGCUUGUUCGUGGGAGAAGUUGAGAUAGGAAGCUUGGCAAAAAUAUGAGGGACAGGUCUAAGUCUAGGUAUGUUGAGAAGACAUGUCAUUAUUACAAGAAGAAGAGGCAUAUCAGAGCUGACUGCUAUGCCUUGAAAAAUAGAAACAAAGCUGGGAUGCCAAUGAUAAAGGAAAACGCCUUGUUGUUUCAGCGGAGGCUGACAUUGUGGAAAAUGAGAAAGCGAAUGAGAGCUUCUUAUGAUCUUUGAUAUGGGGUCCAAACUUUGUGAGGAAUGGGUUUUGAAUUUGACAUGGGUAAGCUUGGGUGCUCUUGUUGUCAUGAAGGGAUAUAAGAAUUUUACAUAGCUAUAUGUUUCGCAAGUUUUUACUACUACAGGAGAUUCAGCAAUUUCUACUUUUUCUUUGAUUGAGGAUGAAGUCACAAAACUUUGGCAUAUAUGGCUUGGGCAUAUGAAUGAAAAAGAAUGGCAGAUUUAAGUAAAAGGGGGCUUCUUGAUGGGUAGAAGAUCAGUAAGAUGAAAUUUUGUGAGCAUUGUGUUUUUGGAAAACAGAAAAUGGUCAGAUUCUCAAAGGGAAGACAUGACAUGAAGGGAACACUUGUAUAUCCAUUCAAAUCUUUGGGGCCGACUAGAGUACCUUCAAGGAGAGGUGCAUAUUACUUGAUGACAAUAAUUGAUGAUUACUCCAAAAAGUUUGGGUAUUCUUCUUGAAUCGAAGAAUGAUGUGUUUGAGACUUUCAAAGAGUGGAAAACAUUGGUAGAAAAGCAGACUAGAAGUAGGUAAAACGUCUACUCAUUGAUAAUGUGUUGAAUUUUGUUAAGAUGAAUUCAAUAGCUUCUACAGGGCUGAAGGUAUCUUGAGACACUUGACAGUGUCCAGAACUCCUCAAUAGGAUGGCAUGGCUGAACGGAUGAAUAGAACAUGAUGGAAAAGGUUCGUUGUAUACUUUCAAAUUCUGGGAUGCCUAAGUCAUUUUAGGCUGAAGUUGCUACUACAGCAUGUUUUUUGAUCAAUCGCUCACCCUGAACAUUCAUUGGAAAUAAAACACCAAAAAAUAUAUGAUGUGGUAAACACUCUUGUUAAACUGAUUUGAAGAUCUUUGGUUGUCCUGUGUAUGCUCAUGUGAAUAAUGGAAAAUUGGAACCUAGGUCUAGAAAUGCAUUUUUCUUAGGUCUAAAUCAGGAGCGAAGGGUUAUAAGUUGUGGUGUCCAGAAGAGAAGAAAGUGGUGAAUAGUAUAGGAUGUAGUAUUUGACGAACUUGCUAUGAUUCAUGAAAGACCUCUUGAUGACGAAACCACUUCCCAUUGCUAAGUUUGAGCAUUACUUGAAUUUAUAGGUGUUUGUCAUUGAUUUAGUCCAUUGGGGCUUGCUUGAAAGAGGUGGAGUGGUGUUUACUUGGAGAUACAUAUUUUUGGAAUUUCUUGUGCUGGAAUUUGGUUUAAGGUGGAGAUUUGUUGUAGUGUGAUCCAAAGUCUUGGGGUUUUCGGAGUAGUAUUGAGUUGAUCUUAAAGAGAUCAAAAAUAGGGAGUGGGAGAAAAAUUCGCCGCAAUUUCGAUAACUUUUCACUAGUGGGAUGUUCAAGCAUUUGGAGUAGAAUAAUCAUCGUUCGCUUCUCGUUGGCUUGCAGCUCAAGUGACAGUAACGUUGCUCAUUGUCGCUUGAGUGAUAACAUUAUCUGAGCCAUUCCGAAUUUUACGUUUUAACACGAUUUGGACUUCUAUUCAUCUACAACUUGGUCUCUUGAGUUCCCUGUAUAUACAACUCAUCGUGUAUUGUUGCCAUAACUUUUAGAAAAUGUGAGAAAACAAAUCUGCACCAUCUUGAGAGCUUAGAUUCAAUUAAGAGUAUUAAGUCUUGAUAUUGUAAACACAUUCCUAUUGAUUACCGCAAAUUUUCUCCUCCUUUGCCUAUGGUUUUCCUGAAUUGGGUUUCCAUGUAAAUCUCUAUUUUAUUUACUUUUCGAUCUUAUUUCAUUAUUAUCAUAUCUUCAGAGCCGUAUUCAUAACAAGAACAUAUAAAUUAUUUGAGAGAAUGAAUGAGUAGAGUGCUCUGUGGCGAUAUAGAGGACCAUGGAAAAAGUUAGUUGUAAUACAUGAGGUGGAUACCGAUACCCAUCUAACAGUAAAAAUUAAUUCAUAGAAAAAGAAGGUGAAUGGGUUGUCUACAACUUAAUAAGUCAAUAUGGUGCAAGCUCCUCUUCUAGAAUGUGAUGCUUUUGCGAAAUCGACUAAGAAAGCACUUUAAGCUCAAAACUUCUAGUGCCGGCAGGACAAUCCUUAUUCUUAGACCUAUAAUUAAGGCUGAAGGAACCCUUCGAACAUCUCUUACAGUGAUACGCAGAAUACCAAAUGUAGGUAAAGCAAGAGAGAAGAAAGCAGGAUGGGAGGAAGAUAUAACUCAAUUUGCAAACAAAGGUCGAAGUAGUAUGGCUUUUAGUUGGCUUCAUCAAAUCACACUCCAAGAGCUUGGUUCAGUAGGCUGAACUCCUUAUGAAGAGUUUGUUUUUAAAGUGGCUUUAGCAAAUCACACUUUGUUCCAUAAAAGAGUUCGUGCUGAUUUUAGGAUACUUAUAUUGUAUGUCAAUGACAUGAUCAUGACAGGUAGUAACUUUACCGGGAUAGAGAAACGAUUUAGUUAUCUAGUUAAGAAAUUUGAAAUGAAGGAUUUGGGGUUUCUAAAUUUCUUCUUGGGAAUUAAAGUAUCAUUGUCCAAACAAGGGCUCUUUUUCUUACAACGAAAUUAUAUACUAUUUCUUGGCGGAUACUGAUAACUUUGGAUGUGAUUCUGUAGACACUCCAAUUGAGGUAAAUCAUGGUCUAUCUACCUAUUCGAUCAAAGACUACAUACAGAGUUCAAUAAUUGUUGCAUCGAUUGGUGUAUUGGCUACAUAUUUGAUAUGUUUCCAAGUCACUCGCCUGAAAGCUGGUUAACAGAUUCCUCCAGCCUGCUUCUUAAGCAUCUCACAUCAGUUUCCAAAUUUUCAAUGCACUAAAUUCUUUUAAGGCAUGGGAUCACAUCAUGCAAAACUCACCAUAUGAUGAUGUAUAUUUUAUUAGGAAUUUUGAGUUACUACAGGUUUCACUAACUUGACACGAAAAAUCGUCUAGGCCAAGCAUCAUUUAUUCGGUGAUUCCAUAGCAACUGAUGACCAUUUUCAAAGCGUAUAAACAUUGCUGUCAAAGUGUCCAAUGAGUCUGACUUUUUAAUAUUUUGAAUAACAUCUCAAUCCAUAGGAAGGAACAAGAUUUUAGUUUGCUAGUUAUUCCACAUCUCAUGCUCAAUAAGAUCGCUAACCCUUUCAUUAUUCUAGUUUGAUAUGCUGAUGGGUUAAAGAUGGUAGUGGAUGAAUCCAAUAGUCUUAGAAAAUCUUACUGGAAUCUUCGUUCACUACUAGCCACGUCAGACCUUUUUAUAAAAGUUUAUGCUCCCAUAAGAAGCUUUUCCAUGAGCAAGCUGACCAUUCGUAUCCGUGGAAGAUAAAAAAUCACUGGGCCAGAAGUAUUUUCCUUCUAAAAAAUUAAGCAAUAUGUACAUUCUCCUUGACAUUGUUGUUUUACAUUCCCCCUAUGCGUCAAAAUCUGGCCAAUGAUGUGAUAAGAUGUUGUAGAAAUCAAUGGCUAUGAUGGAUGUCAUGUGGAAGAGUGUCAAACUUAAAGUAAAGGAGAAUGUACAUAUAGCAUGAUUGUUUAAAAUUUAGGCAGCUAGUGAAUUGUAGUCGGUGGUCAAACACCAACUUAUUUUGCCACAAGUGCCUGGUUAAAAAUACCAGAACCCUGAUAUCCCAACCUUCCCAAUCCUUUCAUAAGAUAGGUUAGAAUGGCUUUUAAAAUAGCCUUGAAUAGUACUUGAUGAUCCCCAACUGAGAAAAAAUCUCAACAUCACCCUAAGUUGGUUUCUAAGCUUUCUCCUUUAUUACUACAAAUGUCCUCCACCGGUUUGUUCCAACCAUAGUGGGAAAUCCCAAAUAUGUAUCAUGAGGAUUAUCAUGCUGUAUUCCAAGUUUAUCUACUUACCAAAAGCCUUUAUGUAUAUAUUCAGCAAUUCAAAAUGACCUGAAAAUCAUGAUCCAAAGCCUUGGAAAACACACUUGAUUCAUUGGAAAAUAAUAGGGGAUUAUCUCGUGGUCCUGCUCAAGAGCAUUACAUGGCUGCCAAAUGUCCCGUGUUCUUAGCUGAUUGAAUGAAAGUGGAAAAAGCUUCAACACACAACAAGUAUAAAUCAGGAGAUAGAUUAAGCUUUUGUGUAAGCCUCGAGAUUAUUGACCUCGAAAAUAUUAUUAAAAAAUUCCUCUAACAUAGUCAAGAUUUUCCCAUCCUAACCUCACCAAUUUUAUACUCAAGCAUGAACAAGAAGAGAAAUGACUAUUUGGAAUAAGGAUAUUCAAAUUUGAUGAUUCUCUUUUGCUCCCAUGUAUUAGUGAUUAUUGAUUUCUAAUGAGGCCAUGAGAGCAAAUGGGUCGUUUCUAUUAAUGACACUUGAUAACCAUUGAUUAGUGAACCUUCCGAAUCUAUUAGUUUUCACAUUUUACUCACCGGUCCACGUAUUCUUCAUUCAUUGAUUAUGAAGUCAUGCUUUACAUUUUAAUUUACGUGUGCUUUAGUAACAAUUUUGCAUGGUGUAGAAUAUCUAGUGAAAGUACUAAAGUACAUUGGCUUCUUGUUUCUGCUCUAGGUUGAUGAUAAGGCUUCGUGCUAUUAAUACUUGCUAACCAUAUAUUGAGAGUUUACAUGUGGUUUGGUGACCUUAAAAAUGUUUGUUGGUAGAGGCAUAGGCUCGUUAUUAAUCCAUUAUAAAUAUUUAUUGAUAGCAAAUAGUCCCAAAGUUUGAGUCUUAUCAUUUAUGUUAGAUUUCGGACUUAGUUUAGGUUCUUCAAUAAGCGAACAUAUAUAUAUAUAUUUUUAUCUAAAUUUUUUAACCCUUCGCUUGGUUUACUAGUGAAAAUUUUUGUUUAAUGAACCCAUGGCUUGGUUUACUAGUGAAAUGAUUCUUCGCAAAAAUGAGAUUGGAUAAUUAAUAAAUAGUCCCUUGAGUUCGAGCUUAACUAUUUAUAUGACGAACUUGUGGAUUUGAGAUAAGGAGUAAAUACUACUUUUCUAAGGUUAAUAUGUGCAUUAAUGAUAAUUGAUGACGCAUGAUCAGAUGAAAAGACUCCUUUAUAAUUGCAUCCUUCAUACAUUUUCCAAUGUGGAUGUAUUUCUUUGUGCGCUGUAAACAUUGAGUGUUAGGGCUUUAUUUAUGGAUGAUGAUACUCUAGCCCAUAGACGAAUCUUAUGCUCAACCUAAAUAAUGAAAGCCCAAUACUAAUCCAAUAUGUCUUGAAUAAAUAUUUCUAAGACCAAAUUUGCUUACACAUUAUUUUUAUAGGGGCCAUAUUGAAAAAGAAAAAUGAACAAUAGAAUAGGAUUUGUAAGUUUCUAUUUGGGGACCUAUAUUAUUAUUUCCUUAUUUUGCUAAGUAAUUAAAUUAUAUAGACCUAGAAUAAAAUUUUUUUAAUGACCCACUUCAUUUUUCCACAAAUUCAAAAAUAUAUGUAUAUAUUUAUAUAGUCAAAUUGUACAAAACAAUUUAAAAUGUUAAAGUUUAUAAAAGAACAUAAAACAUUCUUCAUUAAUUAGUGAAUAACUAAUACAUUUGACCCCCAAAUAUACACACGUUAUAGCAUAAAACAAAAGUAUGCCAUAUAUAUAUAGUUCUGGUAUUUCAAAGUCUAUUAAAUGACCAACAAAUUUAGCAUUUACAUGACUUUUAUCUGCUCUAGUAUCUAUGAGGACAAGAAGAUUCUUCUUGUAUCCUUCUUGAUUCAUAUAUCUUGUGGACCACCGCCACUACAGUCGUCUCCAGAGGAAGAGCCUCCAGCACUUCUUUCACUGACUCCUCCGAAUUGGUGCCCAAAAAGUCCACCUCCUUCGAGGGACGUGCUCUUUUCCUGCACUUGAAAUUUGGACAUCUUAAUUUUGGAGGCUUGAAGUUGUUGAGUAAGAAAAAGAUGGUAAAAGUUUUGCCUCCAAUAAAUCAUACAGAUCAAUAUACAGGGCUGAAAAUUUCAUAAUUGGGCUUAAUAUUCACUCACAUUUACCUUCAAAUGAAAUACAUGAAUUAAAAAAAAAAAAAGGCCACUUUUAAUUGACCUUUAUUAGACAUGAAUACUAAUGGUUCCUACACAUGCUUAAGCCCCCCCGCCCCCCCAUUUUCCCUAUUAAACAUUUCCUUUAAUCUUAAUCAGUUGUGAAUAAUCUACCAAAAUUUCUUCACUAUAGGACUAACGUUUCAUUUCCCAACUAAUUCAUAUUUCCUUCUACUAUAUAUAUUUAUGUAUAACUUACACAUAUAAAGGUUCACACUUUGAAACAGGGAAAAAAAAUUCAAAAGAAAUAAAAACAUAAGAGAGAAGCAGAUUUUGUAAUGUUUCGAAUGCCAUCUGGAGACAACAUCCAUCGUCCAACUUUAUACAUUCAAAAGCUUUCAAAUUAAGGUAGGUAGAGGUGUAAGUGGUUAUUUUGUUUUCAAAUUAUGAUUUUUCAUUAAAAGUUUGAAUGAAUUAGUACUAUUAGGUACGGUGCUUUAGCACUAUAUAGUUUAAAUGAUCAUUCUCUGACUGUACGUAUUGUUAUAAUUCUAUAGAAUCGAAUUUUGCUAGAAAUUCAUCGAUGUACGACGAUAUGAAUCUAUAAUUCAAAUUUUCUAAUUUGAUAACGAAAUACACAAAUGAUAGCUAUUGAGUUAAACUCAUGGGUUUAAUUCUCUUUCUAUAGGUUGAUUUGAUUUGCUUAGGACAUGGAUGAUGAUAGAUGAGGAUGUAACGUGCAAUGGAAAAGUAGGUGACCUAAUGUUUUUAAUUCAAUUAUUGAAUGUUUACGUUUUUUUAAUAAAUAGAUUCCUAUGAACAACAUAUGUGGAAUUAUUAUAUGAACAUUUAAAUGGAUAAGUAAUGUUUAAAAACAGAUACGUGUUAUAAAAAUUAACUUACAAGUCACCUCUGCCACAAAAAAAAAAAAAAAAAAAAAAAAAAAGUGUUAACGAUUUAAUGUUGUUGAUUGUUUAAAAUUUCAGCUUCUGCCCUUGGCUUCAAAAAUUCAUAACUCAAUCAUUACUUGGAAUUUUUGGAGAAACCAUUGGUGUUUGAUAGCCUCAAAAGUUGAAAUCAUGUCAAUUCAAUUUGUCUAGAAUCUUAUAUGUCACUCUAAGUAAACUGCACUGGGUUACCUUUCAAGUUGAGUCGUUGCGGGGUUUUGAAAAUUAUUUUAUUACCUCAUUUUUUUCCGACGGAAGCUAAUAUUUGGAUAUAUCAUAUUAGGAGUGACAAUUACUGGUUAAGAUAGAAAGCAAAAGGGCAAGAUUUCCAUUUAUUUAUUUAUUUUGCCUAGAAUUACAUGUCAAUAAUGGAUACAUGCAUGGAAAUCAUUCUAAAAACAUUUUUGAAGUUUUUUUCUUUUAGUAUUGAAUUAUGUCGUUAUAGGAAAAAAAAAAUUCCUUACCUAGGUUUUUUCUGCAUGCUGGUUCACGUAAAUAGUAGAAUUUGCACGACCUUUGGUCAAACUUUUUGAUAUCAUUUCACUAUUUUUGCUACUGUCAAAAAGUGACGCUACUAUGAUGCCUUAAUUUGAAAUGAUGUUGUUUAGAAUUAAAUAAUUCUUGAAAUAAAUUCUUAAAUUAAAUUUUACAUUUUCCGUUAAAAGAAUUGUUAAUUAAAUUAUUAUUUUAUAAAAUUUGUAAUUAUUUUUAAAUUAGAGAGAUGUGUGAUUUAGCAAACCUUCGGAAUUGAGAUUAUUCUCUAUUUAUAGCAGCAUUAGCAAAUCCAAGUGAGAAACAUGCAAAAAGGCUAACCAAUUGGUAACAAUCAUCUGCCACGUUUUUGCACUUUCACAUAUGUGCAUCUGGGAAGAAUCAUUAAGGGUAAAGAGAUGUUUGUGUCGCCUGGCUGCUAUAUCAUGCGCUAUAAGACAAUCAUGUUCCAUUUCGUCAAACUUGAUUCCACCAAAACAUUUUUGCUCUACCACUAACUAAGGAACCAAAGCACUGUCUGCCAACUGUUCUCCUUUAGCUACUUGUAAAUAUUCGAUCUUAGAAGUCAUCAAAGAAAUGGGAUAACAUGCUCAUAUUGUUUUGUGAACUCUGGAUUUUGUUAUGCCUUCCAAAGAGAUUUGCCAGGUUACCACAUUGUUUUAGUUCCAUUAGAAAGUAAUAUUUUUGAAUGACUUAGGGAAGUCAUUUUUUACUUUGUAAUUUCUUUCAAUAAAAAGAACUUUGGACAUAAAUACUUUUAAUAUAUUAUUAAUGUAUUUAAUGGCAGAUCUAUUAUUUAAUUAAUAGACAAUUAAAUUAAAUAUUAGAGUCCGUAGAUUCAAAUUUUCGUAAUUUAUUAAUCACAAGGAAUUGUGAUUGUUAGAUACAAAUUAUAUAUGAUUGAAUAUUAAAUCGUCCGUGGUCAUAAGUAAUAACGAGAUACGGAUAUCAUUAUUACGAAUAGACCAUCACGUGUGAUAUUUCUUACUUUUGAAGUAGGUAACUGAUCUCACAAGUUAAAGUGUGAUGACACUUAGUGAACACAUGGAUGUUUUGUUAUAAAACAAAACAUUGGAGACCCACCGAGAGAUUCUACAUGGAUAACUAUCUGAGUGUCAGUGGUUAAUCUCUAGCAUUCGGUAGUGAAAUUGGUCAUUUGACUUGAUGUCUUCAUGGUACCUUAUAUGAGUACAGCCAUACUUUGACGGUAUUGAAUGUUGCUCUACCAAGACCCGCUAAUAUGACAUCAUUCGGGUAUAUCAAGAAUCGUAUGAAGGUUGUGAAUGACUAAUUGAGGAUUCGUCACUCUUAGAUAGUAAGAUAUUAUGAUCUGCGUUUCAUUCAAUUAAGUCGAUAAUGAAAUCCUUGGCCAAUGUGUACUCAUAAGUUGAAAAUAAGUUUUCGAUUUAUAUUGACUUAAUAGUGGAGUGAAAGAUAUGAUCGAUAAUUGGGAUUGACAUACUUCCAUAUCUCGUAAUUGAUCGGAUCAUAUUGAUGAAGGGAUUAUAGUUUCACGGUAAACGAACAAGUUUGAUUUUGUCAUAUCACGUGACAUUUUUCAUCACACGUAUUACCUUGACACAUUAUUAGAUGUUAAUUUGGGACAAGGAGUGUGAAUUGGUGAUAAAUUAAAAGAGUGUUUUAAUUUAUCAAUUUUGAUUAUAUCAAAAUAAUAUUUCAUGUCGUUAAACAUCAUGAUCAAGGACCUGAUGGGUUGCACACAAAAGGAGAAUUGGAAGAUUGUGAUUUAUCAAUUUAUUAGUUUAACAAGUGUUGGAUAAAUUAAUUAAUUGGGUUGCUUAUUUAUAGGCUCAAAUUAAUUAAUUGGAUUAAUUAUUUCACGGACCGAAUUUAAUUAAAUGAGUUAAUUAAAUAUUGGACUGGGUUAGGUCAAAUCCGUCUGGGCUCAUGUAAAUAAAUUAUUAGGGUUUACAAAUCAGUUGAGAGAAUUUAUUAUUUUUACUAGUACAAGAAAAAAAUCAUAAUCCUACAAUCUUGUUUUUUCUGUGUAUUACCGUUGGAGGCUAGACAAUUGGACAACUGUGGGAGACAGAUCAAGGUUGCUGGCAAUAGAAAAGGCAAAGAGGUUUGCAGAUCUAGAAAAUGUAUCACUUUUAUCACAAUUUCUAUCUAAACACAAAGAGAUCCGUGAUGGGAAUAAAAAAAUUGUUUUAAUUUUCCGCUGCGCAUGUUUAGUAGAUUCCCAAGAGUGGUAUUAGAUCCUACUUUGUGUUUGUUAAGAAUUGAUUUACAUGUUGAAGAAAUCAAAAGUUGAUUUUGUUCUUUUCUUGUUUCUAGCAAUUAAGAAGAAAUUUGAUUUUAUAUAUAUACAUAUAUAUAUUUUUGGAAUCUGAUUCUAAAAUAUGAAAAAAAAAAUUGGAUUGGAUGGUGACGAACUGUCGCCGCCACCUGUGGCGAUUGCUAGCCAGCAGUGGCAGCUGGUAUUGGUAACAAACGCCACUGCACCAGGCAGCAGCGUUUUCACACUGUUGUAGCAGCAGGAGCCACCAACCAAAAAAAAAAUUAAAAUUAAAAUUUCUUAAGGUUUUCAGUUGCGUGAGGGAGAUUUGGAGCGGGGACCUCAGUUGCAAUUUUUGAAAUUGCAGGCCCCCGCUUGCAAUAUUAUGAAAGGGGUCAAGUUGUAAUUUUAAAAGGAAGGGCAUGUCUGCAAUUUCAAAAAUUGGAAGGCCCUAGUAUUAAUUCUUAAUUUGGGUCAAAUUGCAAUUUCCAAAAGAUUUUGAAUUUGAAUUUUAAAAUGUUUUUAAAAUUGUAUUUUAAUGGGUUUGACCUAUAAAUUUUAAUUUUGACCCAAAUUAAAAUUUUAUUUAAAAUUGACAACUUUUUAUAUUUUUGUUAAAAUAUGAUUUUAACUUAAAUAGUAAAACUUUGACCCCAAAUUAAAUUUUAUUUUAUUUAGGAAUAUUGUCCUAGAUUAAAAUAUUAAUUCAAUUUAAAUUAGAGUUUGACUCUAAUUCAAUACUUAAUUAAAAUUUGAUUUUAAUUUAUUAUUCACCCGAAUAUACUCUUGAAAUUAGAAUUGGAAUCUAAUUAGACAUUAAAUUGAAAUUUGAUUUUAAUUAAAUUGUCUUACCCUAAAAUUUUCCUUGGAAUUAGAGUUGGACUCUAAUUUAAUAUUUAAUUAAAAUUUGAUUUCAAUUAAAUAAUUUACCUUAGCGUUUAUUGAAUUUAGAAUUGAAUUCUAAUUUGACAUUUAAUUAAAUUUGAUUUUGAUUAAAUUGUCUUGCCCUAAAUUUCUUCUUCGAAUUAGAGUUUGAUUCUAAUUUGGUAUUUAAUUAAAAUAUGAUUUUGAUUAAAUAUAUUUGCCCUGAAAUCUUGAAAUUAGAGUUAGACUCUAAUUUUGUUAUUUAAUUAUAAUUUGAUUUUAAUUAAAUUCAACCGUCUUAAGUUAUGAAGUUAGAGUUGGACUCCAACUUGAUAUUUAAUUGAAAUAUGAUUUUAAUUAAAUAGUCCCGUCCUAUAAUUAUGGAAUUAGAGUUUUGACUCUAAUUCGAUAUGUAAUUAAAAUUGGAUUUUACUUAAAUAUGGCUGCUAAUUAAAUUAUUGAUUGAUUUGAUUAAUUAAUUAUUUAAUUGUUCCAAUCUAUUUGUUUAAAAGAGUUUAGACGAUCUUAAUUGCUAGAAACUUGAAACGUGUUAGCAUAUAAUAUUAGAUAUUAUAUAUGCAUACAUUUAUGUGAUGUAUGUAUUAUUAGUGGACGAUUGUGAAUUUGACCAUGUGAAUGUGUUGAAUGGUUAAUUUUAUUCUUGUCAUUUUAUGGGCUUGCAAGCUCUUAUUCAUUUUGGACCUGCAAGUCCGUUAUUGUUAUUGUGUAUUUUAGACCUGCAAGACCAAUUUCAUCUAGGCCUGUGUGCCAACUAGUGUAGGAUACAUGUUGCAGCUAGACUAAUUGAAGACACACGGAGAGGAGGAAAUCAUGAAGAUGGUGCAUUGAUACUGAUUAAUGCGAUAUCCCCUUGGAAUUGACAAACUACUUUUCCUUAUGGCUCGGGUAGACUAGAUAGUAAAGUUCAUAAUCGUCCAUACUAUUACAUUAUAUUAUAUAUAUGUUUAUUUACACAACAUAUAUGAUGUUACGAUGAGACUUUUGAAUACAAAACCCCCCAAUAAAAUAUCAAGUCACAUUUAUAUUUGCCUUCCAUCAUUAUAGUGAAAAAUCAAAGUCCCAAAUCGUCUUAGUUUGUUGAGUACACUCAAGGCUUGUCUGUUAGGGAUAUAUUUGACACUAUGAAAUAUUUGAUAUUUCUGAAUGAUGGGUUUGAUUUAAAUAAAAUUUAUCUUUUGUUGAGUACACUCAAGGAGAUAAAUUUUAGAGGAAUAUUAAGCUAACAUAUAAGAUGUGUAAAGACAAAGAGUUGUCGGCUUAAUGAUCUGAAAAUAGUAUGGAAAUACAAUUGAUAAUAGUAUCUACCCAAAUGUUUUAUUAAAACUUGUUGAGUACAUUUAAGGUCUUAAUAUAACAAAUGGGAUCCCAGCCCACUGGGAGUCAAAUAUGGACUCCAUAAAUUUAUGUAAGAGGGUCAUAAAUUUUAGUUAAACAAUGGGAGCAUAAUUAAUUUAAUAAAAGUCCAUGUUAAAUUAGUUGAUGCAUUUUAUAUAUUAUUCUUUUCUUUUCGUCAUUUACAUUUAUAUUGAAUCUUGAGUAACCAUAUGUCUUGAACGGCAUACUCGAUGCCAACAACCAAAGUAAUUUUUUUUAAUCGGCACUGCAAUCUAAGAAAUGUUCUCAGGCAUGAGAAAAUUGGUUAUGUCCUUGAGUAGUCCUUUAUAGAGACAUCUAUUGAUGACUCGAUUAAGAAAGAGGUGGCUGCUAUAAUAAACGCAGUGAUGACAAUAGUACUGCAACGUAUAUGAUACUUGCAAUUAUGUCACUUGAGUUACAGAAGCAACAUGAGAGUAUAGAUGUUAACACAUAAUUUUUUAUUUCAAAGAGUUAUAUGAUAAUUAUCAUGUGUGGAAAGAUAUGAGACUUCCAAACAACUAUACCAGUGCAAAAUGACAGAGUAAUCUUCAAUCGAUGCUUAGAAACUGAAGAUGAUUGACGUUGAGAAAUGUCUCGAGUUCAAUUAUAAACCAUGAACUAAGUAGUGACUUGGUUCUAUAAUCUCUGUCAGAGAAAGCUAUUCAAACCUAAUUAUGAAUUUAAGAUGAAUAAGCUCGAAUGUACAAUUAUUAAGUUGCUUAACAUGCUUAAGACUGUUAAAUCCAAUAUCAAAGUUAAUAGUGGGCAAGCCAUUGAUUUCUCUAAGAGUAUUAAGAAAAAACUCUUAAGGAGCUUUGAGAAAGCAUCCAAUAUGGCUAAAACCGUCAAAGCGAAGGACAAUACCGAAUCUAAUAACCCUUAGUUUCAUUAUAGAAUGAAAAGGUCAUUGAAAUAUAAUGCAAGGCUUACAUCUACUUUAUGAGUUUCUUAGGUAUUUGAUAGCAGGUGUGGAUCUCAUAUUUAUACAAAUAUGGAGAAACUAGAUAGAAGUAGACUACUACAAAAGGGAGAAGUUGACCUACACGUUGAAGAUAAGCAAAUGUAGCUGCAUUGCCUAUAGGAAUAUACUUUUUGCCAUUGCCUUUUGGUUUAGUAUUGGAAUUAGAGAAAUGCCUCUUUGUACCCAUCAUAGCUGGAACAUUAAAAUGAAUUUCAUGUUCGAACAUGAAUUAUUUUAAUGUUAAGGACAAUUGUUGUUCUUGUUUAUCUUGAUAAAGAUUCUAAUGGUUAUGGUAAAUUACAAAACGACGUUUAUAUUCUUUAAUACUAAGGAUUCUAUAAUGAGUAUAGAAAUUAUAAGGCAUAAAUGCGAUAGUCUAAUUAUUACCUAAAUCUGGCAUGAUAGACUUUAUCAUAUAGAUGAAAUGCAAUAUUGCAUGGAGAUGUGUACGUGAAGUCAAUUGAUUUUGAAUCAUUUGAAAAGUGCAUAUCAUUCCUAUUAGGCACAAAUGACUGAAUCUCCUUUUAUUUGAAAGGGAGAAAUGUCUACAUAAAUAUUUGCAUAAUACAUAGCGAUGUAUAUGGACCUAUGUCAAUUAAUGUCAGAUGAGGUUUCUCUUACGUCAUCAAUUAUUAUGGAUACUUGAUGAAAUUCAAGCAUGAAGUUCUUAGGAUUCAAUCUAGAAAUAGAGAGACAAAAAGGUAAAGAUAUCCUCACUUUAAGAUCAGAUCAAGAUGGAAAUAUCUUAAAGAUUAAAAUCUGGAUUAUCUAAGAGAGAAUGAGAUUCUCUUGCAGUGGACUCCUCCAUAUACACUGCAACAUAGUGGUGUAUCUAAAAGGAUUAACUAUUAACUAUUAGAUAUAAUGCGAUUAAUAACAAGCCAUGCAAAUCUCCCAAAAUCAUUCUGGGGGUCAUGCACUAAUUGCAGUGUGCAACACACUAAAUCAUGUCACAUCUAAAUUGGUUAAUUUAACUCCAUACAAGUUAUAGAAAGGCAAUAGUCCCAAUUUAUUUUAUAUGAAAGUUUGGGGACAUGACACAUAUUUGAAGCGCCUUGAAUCGAAUAAGUUUGACACUAAAUCCAAUAAAUACAUAUUUGUUGGAUAUUCAAAGCAGAUAUUUGAAUAUAUAUUCUAUUAUUGUGAAGAAAGUCUUUAUCUUACGAUAUAUCAUUUUCUUAGAGAAAAUAUUUACUCUAGGAGAGGAUAGUGGGAGCAAAAUAGAACUUGAAAGAGUUCAAGAGUCCACAUAUAUAGUUAACUAAGUAGAUGAAUUCAAGUUUAAUCCUAUAUAUAAUAUGGGACAUACUCUUGAUCAGGAAGUAGAGGCUCUUGAGGACAUGGUAGCUCCAUUUAAAUCUAGUAGGAUCAUUCGACCUUGAAGAAGGUGCGAAUCCAUGGUUACUAAUAAGGAAUUAUUGAUCCAAGAUGAUGAACCUACUAAUUGCACAAAAAAUAAAGUCAAGUGUUGACUUAAAAGAGAUAGCAAGAGGCCAUGAAACCCAAGAUGAACUCGACGUAUGUGAACAAGGUUUGGACCUUGGUCGAUCCUCCUGAUGAGACAAAAUCCAUAGGUUGUAAAUGGUUUACAAUAAAAGGUUGACAUGGAUGGGAAUAUCCAUAUAUACAAAGUAAGGCUAGUAGCAAAAGGUAAUAAAUAAAGACAAUAUGUUGACUUUAAUGAAACCUUUCACCUAUAGCCAUGCUCAGGUCCAUUCGGAUUUUGAUUGCAAUAGUUGUAUACCGUGACUAUGGGUUAAAACAAAUCUCUUGGAGCAGAAAUCUUUGAUUUGAAGGAAAAAUCAAAAUGUUUGAUUUUAUAAAAAAUGAAGAUGAAUCGUGUGUUUACAAGAAGAUGGUGGGAGCAUUGUAGGAUUUCUAAUAUUAUAGGAAACGACAUCCCUAUAUUUCAAUUGUUGAAAUAAUGGCUGUUAAAGAAUUUAUUCAUGAACGAUAUGGGGAAGGGACUUGAUCUAUAGAGAUAGAUCUAGAAGAUCGCUUAACUCAUCCCAAGAUUUUAUAUGGAGAAAUUGGUUUACUCUUAAACGGUGUGUUGGAAAGGUUCCAAACAUGAAACAACCGUUGGUUUAAUAGUAGAAACCUAAUACAUGAUUGCUUCAGAAGCAGCAAAGAGUUGCAAUAUGGAUCAAGAUGUUCAUCAAUGAACUUGGGAUAGUUCCUAACAUUGUUAAUCACAUGCUAUUGUAUUGUAAUAACAAUAGAGUCAUCGCGAAAGCGAAGGAACUAAGGUCUUAUCAAUGAUCCAAAUAUGUAUUAAGGCGAUAUAAUCUCAUCAGAGAGAUAAUACAUAGAAAUGACAUAAACAAGAGAACGAAUUCCCACAUUUGACAAUAUUGCAGAUCCACUGACAAAGAGUUGUCGUAGCAUAAACGUGAUCUUCAUGUAGACUUCUAUGAUAUUGGAUACAUAAGUGAUUGGAUCUAGUGCAAGUGAGAGUUUGUAAAUGUUAUGCUCUAGGUCCAAUCAACUUUGGACAUAAAUACUUUUAAUAUAUAAUUAAUGUGAUUUAAUGGUAGAUCUAUUAUUUAAUUAAUAGACAAUUAAAUUAAAUAAUAGAGUCCGUAGAUUCACAUCUUUGUAAUUUAUUAAUCAAAAGGAGUUAUGAUUGUGAGAUACAAAUUACAUAUGAUUGAAUCUUAAAUCGUCCGUGAUCGUAAGUAAUAACGAGAUACGAAUAUCGUUAUUAUGGAUAAAGCAUCACAUGUGGCAUUUCUUACUUGUGAAGUAGGUAGCUGAUCUCACAAGCUAAAGUGUGGUGACACUUAAUGAAUACGUAGAUAUUUUGUUAUAGAACAAAACAUUGGAGGCCCAUCGAGAGAUUCCGCAUGGAUAACUAUCUGAGUGUCAGUGGUUAAUUUCUAGCGUUCGGUAGUGGAAUUGAUCCUUUGACUUGAGGUCGUCAUGGUACCUUAUAUGAGGACAGUCAUACUUUGGUUGUGUUGGAUGUUCCUCUGCAAGGGACGCUAAUACAGCAUCGUUCGGAUAUGUCAAGAAUCGUAUGAAGGUUGUGAAUGACCAAUAGAGGAUACGCCACUCUUAGAUAGCAAGAGAUUAUGAUCUGUGUUUCAUUCAAUUAAGUCGAUAACAAAAUUCUUGAACAAGGUGUACUCAUAAGUCGAAAAUGAGUUUUCGACUUAUAUUGACUUAAUAGUGGAGUGAAAGAUAUGAAUGAUAAUCAGGUUGACACAUUUCCAUAUCUCGUAAUUGAUCGGAUCAUAUUGACGAAGGGAUUAUAGUUUCACGGUAAACGAACGAGUUUGAUUUUGUCAUAUCACGUGACAUUUCCCGUCACAUUAUUGCCCUGACACAUUGCUAGAUAUCAAUCUGGGAUAAUGAGUAUGAAUUGGUGAUAAAUUAAAAGAUAAAAAUAAUAUUUCACGUCGUUAGGCAUCGUGAUAAGGAACCUGAUGGGUCGCACACAAAAGGAGAAUUGGAAGAUUGUGAUUUAUCAAUUAAGUAGUUUAACAAGCGUUGUAUAAAUUAAUUAAUUGGGUUGCUUAUUUAUAGACUCGAAUUAAUUAAUUGGAUUAAUUAAUUCACAUACCAGAUUUAACUAAAUGAGUUAAUUAAAUAUUGGACCGAGUCAGAUCAAGUCUAUUUAGGCUCAUAUAAAUAAGUUAUUAGGGUUUACAAAUCAAUAGAGAAUUUAUUAUUCUUGCUAAUACAAGAAGAAAAUACUAAUCCUACAAUCUUGUUCUUUGUGUGGAUCACCGUUGGAGGCUGGACAAUUGGACAGCUGUAGGAGGUAGAUCAAGGUUGCUGGCAAUAGAAAAGGCAAAGGGGUUUGCAGAUCUAGAAAAUGUAUCACUUUUAUCACAAUUUCUAUCUAAACACAAAGAAAUCCGUGGUGGGAAUCGAAAAUUGUUUUAAUUUUCUACUGUACAUGUUAAGUAGAUUGCCAACAGAUUAUCUUGCACAUGUUGAAAAGCUCACAUAACUUAUGUUGACCUUCGAAAUUAGCCAACAUGUGUUGUUUGAAGACAAUGUACACAUGGACGUGUUUAGCCGUAUAUUGACUAUAAAUGCGUGUAUUUUUAGAAGAAGGUAGAUAUGGUGAACAACUAUAUAUGAAUAAGUGUAUUAAGUUCUCUUUCUUAUUCAAAGAUUCGUCCCCUCAAAUGAUAUAAAAAUUGGCUAUUUGUAGUUAUAAGCCAAGGUGGUCAUCGUUGGAUUUGAUCUUCGUGGCCUGAUCACUAGACCUUGGCGUCAUAUCAAUUCUACCUAACAUUAAUUACAUUGACAGACAUUUGACAAGGGGUCAGCAACUCUAUAUCUCCAGGCUAACAUUCCUAACACUUAUUUAAUGAAAACGUCACAUCAGUCAACUCUAAAGAUGUGUUUAUGAGACCCUUUUCUAGUUGUCAAGGACUUCGAAAGCUGUGGAGUUUGGCGGAAAGGAAUAGAUCCACCUCGGAUGCGUAAGGGCCAGGACCACUUCAGAUAACUCUAGUGAAAUGACCUCAUCGUUCAAUGCAAAAAGCUCGACCGUUGACCUUUUUGUAGCUCUUUUGACCCCCCCAAUGCCACGUGUAUGAAUAUGGGGCUUCUACGUGGACCGUAAUGUCUGAUCAGCAACAAUAGUCCCCAAGUCUAUGUAUAAUAAUUCCUGUGAUACAUAGAAUUUAUAUUUUGUCAAUUUUGAAAAAUCUAUGCAAUAGUGUAGUCCCCUAAGUCUAAUUUACGAACAUUUAUGUGAAAAUUAAAGUUUAUGUUAAAAUUGAGGCGACCUGAAAGCUGCUUUUUACUCUGAUGUUGUAAUAACGCGGAUUUGUCGAGGUGAUGAGCUUCGAAAAUGGAAAGAGGUGGUUAUUGAUUGGAGAGGUUGUAUAGGGUCAGCCUUGGGAAGUGUGAGGGAUAUUGCGCGCCAUGCUGGAAUGAUUGGUUGUCAUUUACAAUCUCUAAAAACGACAGAUGACAAUGGUUCAAUUUCCUAUACAUGUAAUCGUCUCCGCAUUAAAUACUUAAUGAUGGCAGUUACAGGCGUGCCUUUUGUCCCCCAGGCAAAGUGGCGCAUGUAAGAGCCACGAUGCAAUUUGAGCCUCAGAAUACGAAAUGGCAGAUGUUGUGAGUGGCUAAGAUUCAAUUACCAAAUCAAUGGUUGGGAGAUUGGAUUUUUGAAUUCAAUGGCCAUGAUCAAAAGUUUUUUCCUAUAAAAAGGAAAGGCUUGUGGAAAAAUCAUUUUUUACCUUUGUAUUAUUCUUGUGUUCUUGAGUUCUCUACGUUUUGUGUUUUUACCAUCUUCUUCCUUAUUCAAGCUUUUUGGAUUUUGAGAAAUUUUUUGCUCUUUUCGAUCAAUUUUUUGUAAGUAUCUACAAUUUUUUGUAAGUUUUAUAACUCACAUAGGAUCGUCUUCAUCUGAGGAGGUAGAUGUGAGGAGGUUGGAUGCUGAGAUAGGGGUUGAAAUCAUGAGUAUUGCUCACUUGGUUAAGUCCAUUAAUAUUGGUCAAAGCUGCCUUCCAAUUGUGGAGGAUGGUUCGGGGAGGAGGGUUGGGGGCCUCAAAAAUUUCCUCUAUUGUAGAGUCUUCUCAUUUAGUAAGCCUCAGAGAAAAUAUUGUAUUCCUUAUGAUAUAGAGCUCUUAGCCCCCUCUCCUGAUGAUUGUGCAUAUUACAUUAGGUCAGGGUGUGUAACCAUCAGUGAACUCCUUUUAAAGGAAGGAUUUCGGCUUUCCCUUUACACAUUCUUUAGAGCCAUUUUUAGGUUAUACAAAUUGGUUUCGACCCAGUUCGUCCCUAAUGCAUAGGCUCAACCAAUGGGGUUGUACUUCAUUUGGAAAGAGACUUCAUUACGCGAGGACACACCUCUUCACAUAUUCCAGACUCUCCUCUAACCUAGGUCAUUCGGCAAUGAAGAUUCCAAGAGGUGAUAUUCUUUAUGUCCAUGGGGUCACAUGCCCCCUUCGUCAUAGGCCUUCCGUCCUCCAUCAAAAGGUGUAAGAAUACGUGGUUUUGGGCAAACGAAAAGUGGUAGGUGUAUGAGGGUGACACCUUCUCCAUGUGAGAGUUCAAACUUCCUAUUCCAAACCUUUUGUAGGAUAACAAUUUUGAAAUAAUCAUCUGACAUUGUGUUUACUUUUGUAGAGGUGGCUGAGAGGUUCGAGCUCAGUUCAUCAGAACUCGAGCUUAUCAAGGAUAUUUACUUGCGCCCAACCUCGUCAAUAAAGUUUGAAAGGCUCAUAAUUUCAAGGUGAUUUUUUGAAGAAUUCAACCUAAUGGCCAAGAGAGAUAUCCCUGCAGUAUCUUUGGCAAUUUACAAGCUUGUUUAGUUUAUAUGUUCUGCAUUCUGAUGUGCUUGCUGACUUGCUUUAUAGAGAGUUUUGAAAAGAGUAGGCACCCCACUCCUGAUAUGGCCAUUAUUUUGGCAGCCACCUCCAUGGCUAGAAAGAAGGGGUUGAAGCCCUCAUAUGUUGCAGGAAAAUAGGUGAAGACCAAGUAGAGAAAGUCAACAGGGAGGCUGCUGCCUAAGAGGCCUCUGGGAGACCUCGCUUGGACAAAGGAAAUGGGAAAAUAGAGGAGGUUCCCAAGAAAAAGACAACAUUUUUUUGCUACCGGAGUCGAUGGGUCAUCUGCAACCCACUGUCGCCUCGCUCUAAAGUCCCUGCUGGGAAGAAGUUGAUGGUAGCUUCAAUUGCUACUACAAUAGGGGGCCCAAAAGAGGGAGACCUUCGGUGUGUCUUCAUCUACUAAAGCCACCCCUUACCUGAAGCUCUCCGUUUCCUACAUGAGUGAUAAGUUCGUCCCAAAGGUUCUGACAAUAUUGCUUUCAAAAGGGAAAAUCAUUUUAGUAACUUUUUACAAGUACUGGACAGAAUAUUGGCAAUCUUUCGUGGAAUCCAGCGAGUAUAUUGACGUUUUCACCACAAUGACGAACCAAACAACGAGGGCGUUUAGCACUGCUAUUGAGGCUGAGGCUCUCAUUAAAAACCUCAUGAAUAAGAAUAAGGGGCAUAUAACCCGAGCUACUGAGAUCAAGGAAGCAGUUAGAAAGUCUUCAGCUAAAGUGGAGGCUUUGAAGAAGAAUCAAGCUGAAGAGUCAAUGAAGCUCGUUUCUGCAUUGGAGAAAUUGAAAGUUUAAAAAAGGAGGCCUACCAGUCACAAAGUGAGGUGGCCUCCCUAACAAAGUGGGUGGAGACGUCUGAUCACCACCAAAGGAUUGCUGAAGAGGACGUUGAGUUGGCCAAUAAAGAAAACUUUGUACUAAAAGAGUAGGUAAAAAGGUCUGAACUCCUGGAUCUCUGACUUGGUGAAAAAGGUGGAAGCGACAAGGAAGGAGGUUGAAUCUGUUAGCAGAGAGGUAGAGAAAAGAUACAUUGUAAACUUCCAUAUAAUAGAGGCAUACUAAAGCUUUGGUGCUCACUAGUGGAGGUAUGCUUGCACAAAGGUGAUGGAGUGGAUCGAAGCGAAUCUUCAAGUUGCCAACAUCUUUGAGCUGAGGGCAGAGUUUAUGGAGGAGAGUGGUGGUUCCCGACUUCGACAGAGGGGAGCCAGGUUAUUGAAAUCGAAGAUGAAACCAAUGAACCAAAAGCUGAUGUCCAAGAGGUGGUCCUCAAUGCCAUAGUACCAUUUGUACUUUUCCUACCCUACUUGCUUAGAUAGGGUUUCAUUCUUUUUGUUUGUAAUUUUGGCCUUUGAAGCCCAAGUUGUAAUAUAUUUUCGAGUAUUAAUGGAAAUUCAUAUUUAUUCAUUUUUUGUUGGCGUUGUUUAAUUUCCUCGUGCUUUCAUUUGAUUUAUGCUUCAUUUAUACUCACUUUUUUACACAAGUGUUUGUAAUUCUGCCAUUUAGUUUGUCUCGUUUUGUGCGAGGUUGAGUGUCUUCUGAUUUAAUAACUUUGUACUCUUAUAAAAAGUUUUAUUGGUAGUACUUUUGUAGAUGUUCUACAUUCCAUAGAUGAGGCUAUGCCUUUCCAUCCAAUCCUCCUAUUAUGUAAGUCCCAGGUCUGACCUUUUCUUUUACACAGUACGAACCUUCCCAAUUUGGCCCAAGAGUUCUAAUCUCUAUUUUUUAAUAGACAAAAACACUCUCCAGAGUACGAGAUCAUUUACAUAAAAUUCAUUUUUCUUGACCUUUGAGUUAUAGUACCUCAUCAUUUUCUUAUGAUACAUAGCCAAUUUAGACUACGACUCAUUUCUCAUUUCUUUAAGGAAAUCCAGUUCGCACAUCCUCAGUUCGUCAUUGGAUAUCUCGUUGAAGUGUAACCUAUGAGGUGAUGGCAAACCUUCCUCGACUGGGCUCAUUGCCUCAGCACCAUAGUUCCUGGAAAAUGGGGUUUGGCCAGUGGCAGUUCUACUUGUAGUCCGGAUAACCCAUAAGAUCUGGGGUAGCUCGUCAACCAAAGCUCCUUUUAAAGCCUCGAGCUUUCUUUUCAACAUGUAUUUAAUGGUAUUAUGAAUAGCCUCGACAUGUCCAUUUGCUUGGGGUGAUGUGGGAAGGAAAAGUACUUCUAUAUCCCCAACUCAUUGCAUAGGUCCCUAACUUUCUUGUUAUUGAAUUGACGUCAGUUGUCUGAUACAAUCGAGUGAGGAAUGUCAAGCCUCCAAAUGAUGUUCUUCCACAAGAAUUUUAUCGUGUUUGCUUCAGUUAUUUUGGACAAUGAUUUAGCUUCGACCCACUUAGUGAAGUAGUUAAUCACGACGGUAGCAAAACAGCCACUACCUCUCUUUAGGCAUAGGUCCAAUCAAAUUAAUCUCCCAUUUGGCAAACGGCCAAGGACUAGAUACAACAUUGAGCUCUUGGGGUGGUUGUGGUUGAACUAUUGCAAAAUGCUAGCACUUAUCACAUUUUUUUUUUUUUUUUUGCAAAUCGGUGGGCAUCCUUUUUCAAGGUCAGCCAAUAGUACCAUGCCUAAGAACUUUUUGGGCUAGGUCCUAUCCUCCUGAAUGGUUGCCGCAUGCACCUUCAUGUAUUCUCUCAGCACAUAAGUAGCUUUUUCCCACCUAUGCACCGAAGCAAGGGCAUAGAGAAACCUCGUUUGUAGAGUAUGCCAUCUUGAAAGGUGAAGUAGGUGGUCCAUUUUCUCAACCUCAGUGCCUACUCUUUGUCAGAGAGUAAGAGCUAUUCUUAUAAAAAUGCAAUGAUGGGGCCCAUCCAUGAGGGGGUAUCCUUUACCAUAUCACUUCUUGUUCUUUGGAAAUUGAGGGCCUUGGAAGGUGCUCUAUAGGUACAAUGGUAAGCAAAUUGAAAUCUUUACUGGUAACCAACUUUGAAAAGGCUUCAGCGUAAGAGUUUUUACUUCGUAGGAUCUGUACAAGGUCGAACUUCUCAAAUGUGGGAAGGAAUUUGAUGACUUGCCUAAGAUAUGUUGCAAUGCUCUUAUCCUUAGUGGCAAAACUGCCAUUAACAUGGCUGACCACCAACUGAGAGUUACAACUAGUGUGGAACCUCUUAACUUGCAUCUCUCUAGCCAAUCUAAGGCUAGCUAGGAAGGCUUCAUAUUCAGCCAUGUUAUUUAUUGUUUUAAAUCCAAACCUUAUGGCACAAUUGAGCUUGUGCCCUUCUAAGCUAUCCAACAUAAUGCCUGCCCCAGAUCUGGUUUCCUACGAGGAACCAUCUAUAAACAAAUUCCAUGUUGGGAGGUCGGCAAGCUCCAUUUCUGGAAGGGGAGUGAAUUUAGCCACAAAAUCUGUUAGUGCCUAAUCCUUAACUGCUGUUCUAGCUUUGAAAAUUAUGUCAAACUUACCCAAUUCUAUGGCCUAUUUUAAUAGUCUCCCAAAAGCAUCUGUUUUCUGAAGUACUUACUUGAGAGGAAAUUUAGUUAAGACCUCAAUAGCGUAUGCCUAAAAAUAGGGCCUCAACUUUCGAGAAGCGGUGAUGAGUGCUAAAGCAGGGUUUUCCAUGUCUGGAUGGCGUGUUUUAUCUGCCAAAAGUGAUUUGCAUAUGUAAUAAGCGGGCAGCUGACGACCCUCCUCUUCUCAUAGCAACACUGAGCUAACUGCUUUGGUGGUCACCACUCAGUAUAACAACAAGGGCUUCCCAUUCUUGGGUUUCGACAAGAGGGGGCCUGACCAAGGUGCUUCUUUAGUGCCUACAUGGCCUAUUCACAUUCUUGUGUCCAUUGAAAAUGAUUUCCUCCUUUCAGGACUUUAAAAAAUGGGACACACUUAUCUAUCACCUUUGAAAUGAAGCAACUCAAUGAUAUCGCUCGUCCUGUGAGGGUUUGAACUUCAUUGGGUUUUUGAGGUGAUCUGAUUUCUACCAGGGCUCUAAUCUUAUCCGAGUUAGCCUCCAUGCCUCUUUGAUUCACCAUGUAUCCCAAGAAUUUUCUUGAGGCUACUCUAAAGGCACACUUGAAGAGGUUUAGUCUCAUUCUAUAUCUAUGAAGUAUCUUAAAGACCUCCCCCAAGUGUUGGAUGUGAUCGUCUGCUUUCAAGCUUUUUGCAAGCAUAUCAUCCACAUAUACCUCCAUCGUUUUGCCAAUUAGGUUAGCAAACAUGUUAUUGACCGGUCUUUGAUAGGUGGCUCUAGCAUUUUCAAUCGAAAAGGCAUCGCCUUAUAACAGUACAAGCCUCGGUCAAUGAUGAAAGAAGUAUGCUCCUCGUCUGUUGGGAACACGAAAAUUUGAUUAUAGCUAGAAUACGCAUCCAUGAAACUUGAUAGUUCAUGACCUGCUGUAGAAUCAACUAAUUAAUCUAUUCGUGAGAGUGAAUAGUUGUCUUUGGGACAACUCGAUUCAGAUUAGUAAAAUCCACUCACACUCUCCAUUUUCAUUAUGUUUCGUUACUAGUAUAGGGUUUGACACCCACCUCGGAUACACCGACUCCCGAAUGAAGCGAUUAGUAAUCAACUUUUGCACCUCGUCUUUUAGGGCUUCAUUCCUCAAGAUUCAAGCCUCUCCUUUUUUGCCUAUGAGAGUUUACCUUGGGAUUGAUUUUCAAGUGAUGACGGCUAACCAUAUCUUUGUACUUCUAGGCAAAAAUAUCCAGGUUGUUCCACAGGAAAUUUUUUAGCUUUUCUUUCAAAGUUGAUGAUAGGUUUUUACCGACCUGCAAGGAUUUAACCCACUUCAAAACUCUCAAGUUCCUCCAUCGAGAUUGUUUGGGGCUUGUCAUUAAUUAUACGAGGAUCUAGAUCAUUAAUAUGAGAAGCUUCAUCAGUUAAUCUCCUUUCUUUAGGGCCUAAUUGAAUUUCCAUGGUAGCCUCUUCUUCAGAGGCAUCGAUUAUGUAGACGUCCUUCCUUUCUGCAAGGUUAUCGACCUCGUCAAAUUCCAUUAAUAUAACGUUUACACUCAUCGGUUCAACUCUUUGUAUGGAGCUCGAGUAACACUCUCUAGCACUUUGUUGGUCAUUUUUAACCGUAUCUAUACCUUGCUUUGUAGGGAACUUCAUACAAAGAUGGUAAAUUAAGGUUACUACCCACAAUUCCUUCAAAGCGGUCUUCCCAAUACCCCAUGGUAGGCAAAAUACUGAUCUACUACCAAGAAUUUCCAUGAAAUUGUGGGCCAUCAACUCCUAUUUCUGUUGCCAAAGUGAUUUUCUCUCGAUAAAGGAUGUUGUUACGUCUAAAACCAUACAGGAAGAAGUUACCAAGGUCAGUUCGUGAUCAACUUCCAUCUUGUCAAAGGUGGACCCAUAAAUUAUGUUGACUAAACUUUCGUUUUCUAUAACAUUCUUUUGAGGCCAUUCUAGCCACCACUAACCUUACGACCAGGCAUCACAAUGAGGAUAAUGUACCCUGUUGUGUUAUUUUACGUAAAUACAAUCGGCUAAACUUCCAUGCGUGUGGAUGAUUAACCACUGUUAACUAUGAAGCUAGCCAUUGGGGGGUCCUUAGCUUUCCUGGUGUAGUUUUUUUUGGACAUUCCUUGUCUCACCACCUACUUAUGGUCCUCCAAAUAUUGUAUCAAUUUCUCGAAUGGGUUCAUACUCGGCAUUUGGUGAAUGACUCAUUCGAUGUCUCUGGCCUUCUUCAGGUCUUGUGUGGUCUUCACCACGCUUGUACGAAUUGUAUCUAUUGAGUUGGCAAUUUUUAUCAUUUCUUUGCGAAAGACCUUAUCGAGCGGCCUCGACCUUUUGGGGACGUUCAUUCCCUCUUUGUUUACUCGGAUGUUUGGCUAUGUCCCAGUAUCCAGCCAUGCUGUGACUAUAAGAAUGAUGGUAUGUGCAAUAUGGAAGUUCUUCAUCCCUAUUUCUAGGUCGUAGCCUCGUGCUCAAAUCGAUCACUGAGGUGAUCUGUCCUGCUAACCUCAGCGAUGGGAUUCACCUCUUCGUAAGCCAAAGUUGGGACUGCGUUAAGUGUUGUCCCUACUAACGAUUGUCCUAGAUUAAAAGAGGUAGAGGUUCUACUUGUUGGUCAAUCAAAUGCAAUGUUGGGCCUCUUCCUCUUUGCAUUUGAAGAGGUGGGAGACCUCGAUUUGCCUGUUUCGAUGAUCUCUUAAUUCAUCAUUGAUGAUCUCUCGUCUAAUCAUUUCCAUCAUGGCGUUGUAACGAUAGGGUCUUUGUUUUGCACGUCUCUCCAAAAAAAUGAAUUCAUGUACAAUCCUCCUCUUAGGGAAAUUAAUGCCUCUCUAUUUGUAACCUGCACACAGUAGGUUAUUUCAUUCGUGAAGUGGGUCAAAAAGCUUUUCAGCGACUCCUCUAGUUGCUGCCUCAUAUUUUGCAAUCAUUGAAUCUGUCCUUCAUCUUCUUUGCACAUUGCAAAGCGCUUAAGAAAAGCUUUCUUGAAAUUAGGCCAACUCCGUAUAAUUUUGGCCUCCAGUCUAGUAUACCAUACCUUAGCUGCUCCACUAAGGGAUAAGUAGAAGGCUUUGCAUUUCAUCACUGGCAUAGCAUCCUUUAGUCCCAUGUAAGUUUUAAAGCUGUUGAGGUACUUUACAAGGUCUCAUAUCCCAUCAUACUUGGUAUCUUGGGUAGCAUUAAGUGGUUUUGUACUGGAGCAUUCCUAAUUUCUCGUGAAAAUGGCAAAUUAUCGUCGUCAUUGUUGAGGUCACAUGACCUCUAUGGUUUGUCAAAAUUACCUCCCUUUCUAUCAAGGGCUUCUAUAAGUUGUUGGGAUUGCUCUACUCUUCUCUCUCACCCAUUUCUAUAUGGGAGAUUAGUGUUGGCUCCAACAAGUUCAUUAUGCACUCCCAACUAAGGCUUUUCACAUUGUCUAUUUCUAGGUGUAGGACGCUGAUCAUGCCUAUUCUAUUUCUAGGUGUAGGAUGUUGAUCAUGCCUAUUGCUAGGAUGUCCUGGGCUUAGCUUGUCAAAAACACUAACUAACUUUUUUGGUGGAUUUUCUAGGUUGUAUUCUGGUGGAAAACUGAAAGGGACUUCGGUAUACUGAUCCGAAGCGUAAUUUGUUGAAAUGUCUACUCCCAUCUUUCUUUCCUAAGGUUUUCUUCCCUUGGAUACUAUUGAUAUUCAGCUCUUUGGCACUGAACCUCAUCUUCGUCAUAAUAGUAGUUGCUUGAAGUAAGGCAUGGCCCAGAGGGGCAUAUGGGAAAAUUUGAUAUCUCCAUAGCCUUGCUAGUUUCUAAAUAAUUCUUACAUGGCAAGAUUUUAUUGAGUAAUGUUCCUCAUAUUCUCAGCCAUGGUGACCACCUCUCUUGUUAGCCUAGCAGUUAAUCCGGAGCCUCCCCGAGUCCUACCUUGCAAGUCAUUUUGUCUAUUUGGCAGCUGAAACCUGUGGCGAGAUGUUAGGGUUGUGUGCGGGGGUUUUCCUUUUUCAGUGUAUUCCCUAGUCCUCCGGGUACAAGUCUUUCUACACUAUUACUCAUGCUAUCUUUUGAGUGUUUUCUUGUUGUAGACAAUCCUUUCUUUUUUUAUCAAAGAACAGGGAUCGCAUCCUAAAACAAUCUUCUUCCCUUUUUCAGCGAUCCUUUUUUCAAGGAUACUUCCUUUUGUUCAAAGGCUUACAGGCAAAAACUUUCAAACGACACCUAUUAUCCAUUUUCAAAGGUAAAGGAAAGCUUGAAACAGCUAACCACGAAAAUCUCAUGGUGAAAAGCUUUUGGAGACAAUUUACAUUUGGACGUGUUUAGCAAUAUAUUGGCUUUAAAUGUGUGUAUUUUUAGAAGAAUGUAGAAAUGGUGAACAACUAUAUAUGGAUAAGCGUAUUAUGUUCUCUUUCUUGUUCAAAGAUUCGCCUCCCUCAAAUGAUAUAAGAAUUGGCUAUUUAUAGUGAUUAGGCCAAGGUGGUCACCGUUGGAUCUGAUCCAUGUGGCCUGAUCUGCUAAGCCUUGGCGUCAUAUCAAUCCUACCUCACAUUAAUUACAUUGACAGAUAUUUGACAAGGGGUCAGCCACUCUACAUCCCUGAUCUAACAUCCCUUACACUUAUUUAAUGAAAACAUCAUAUCAAUCAACUCCAAAGAUGUUCUUAUCAAACCCUCUUCUAGUCGUCAAGGACUUCGUGAGCUGUGGAGUUCAAAGAAAUAGGUCUACCUCAGAUGCAUAAGUGCCACGACCAUUUCGGAUAACUUUAGUGAGACGACCUCAUCGUUCAAUGCAACAACCUCGAUCGUUGACCUUUUUGUAGUUCUUUUGACCUCACCCCCCCCCCCCUCAAAUGCCACGUGUAUGAAUAUGGGGCUUCCACGUGGACCGUAACGUAUGAUCAGCAACAACUUACUUAAAUAUAUUUUCAAGACUUUGUGAUAUCUACACGAUUGAGGAACAGCAGCAUCAUUCAAGAUGAUUCUCUAUUUACAGCAGAAUCAGCAAAUCCAAGAUUGAGAAACAUGCAAAAAGGCUAACCAAUUUGUAGCAAUCAUCUGCCAUGUUUUUGCAUAUUCACAUAUGUGCAUCUGGGAAGAAUUAUUAAGGGUGAAGAGAUGUUUGUACCGCCUGGCUACUGUAUCAUGGGCUAUAAGACAGCCAUGUUCCAUUUUGUCAAACUUGAUUCCACCAAAACAUUUUUGCUCUGCCACUAACUAACGAACCAAAGCACUGUCUGCCAACUGUUCUCCUUCGGCUACUUGUGGAUAUUAGAUCUCAAACGUCAUCAAAGAAAUAGGAUAUCAUUCUCUUAUUGUUCUGUGAAUUAUGGAUUUUGUUAUGCCUUCCAAAGAGAAUUGCUAGGUUACCACAUUGUUUUAGUUCCAUUAGAAUGGAAUAUUUUUGAAUGAUUUGACGAAGUCAUUUUUUACUUUGUAAUUUCUUUCAAUAAAAAGAACUUUUGGAUUUUUUUUUUUAUUUUUUUUUUAUUUUUUUUAUCUAUUUGGUUACAAUUGUUAGUUUGCUUGAAUAUACAAUAUUGAUUAUCUUGCACAUGUUGAAAAGCUCGCAUAACUUACUUAAAUAUAUUUUUAAAACUUCGCGAUAUCUACAACCAACUUAGUCCACUAAUGGACAGGUUUAUGGCUAAACAAUAAGCGAAUUGAGUUUCAUUUAAACAUGAGGUUCUUUAUUGAUAAUAUUUUCUUGGAUGUUCUCUAUUCAAGGGUGUUUCAGAGGUUCUUCAUUUUCAUCCACGAGUUCAUAUGUUCUCAAUUUUAUCACUUCGACUACAGUAUAUGGCCCUUCUCAAUUCAAAACUAAAGAACCUAACCAUAUUUCUUUGUGUGCAAUAAAGAUUUUCUUAAAAAUGUCACCUACUUUAAAGGUUAUUCUACGAACCUUUAAAUUGAAAUGCAUUUUCAUCUUUCUAUGAUAUAUUGCAAGCUUCAUUUGAGAAGCAUAUCAUCUUUCCUCUAGAAUGUCCAGGUACGUAUUCAUGGCUUCUCAAUUUGUUAUUCAUCAAAGUUUAACGUCCUCGUCGAACUUAGGCCUAUUUUUAGGUAUCAUGGCUUCUACUCCAUAAGCUAAUAGAAAGGAAGUCUUUCCUACACUAGUCCUUUUAGUGGUAAGAUAUGAUCAUAAAAUUUAUGGCAAUUCACCAGCCCAUUGCCCCAUUGCACAAUCAAGCUUUCUGAUCAAAAUUCUUUUUAAGGUUUAGUUCAUUGGUUCUUCUUGUUCGUUAGCCUGAGAGUAAUAUGGAUCGAAAAAUAUCUAUGGAUUCAUAGUUCUUAAUGUAAGGCUUUCAAAUUAUUCCCUUCAAAUUGUGCAUCACUAUCUUAGAUAAUCAAAUCCGGGAUUUAAAAUCGACAAAUGAUGUUUUUCCAAAUGAAUUUACAAGUAUUAACAUCAAUUCUACUGGUAAAAGGUUCUACUUUGAGCCACUUUGUGAAUAAUCUAUUGACAAGAAUCACGAUCAUAAACCUUUGCCACUACAGAGAUGAUCCCCAAAAUCAGCUUCACGAAAGGCCAAAAGCUAUUGAUGGUAAUCAACGCUUAUGAUGGUUGACGAAGUAUAACUGUAGAUCCCUAACAUUUUUCUUAUUUCCUUGUAAAUUUCUAUGCUAUCUUUUCUCAUAGUGUGACGUUGCAUGAGCAGGAUUACAUCUUGGUGUAUGUAUCAGGCUACUUUUACACACAUCUUUCUUGCUUCUCUUUUAUUUGGGAGGAUUGCAUUCUUCAGAUAGGAUGUUAUUUAUUGUAUCCAAGGGGUUCCCUCUUGAACCCAUAGUUAUCCUUCAUUUUAUUGACUGACUGAUGUGUUUGAUAACAAUUCUAGUGAUAUGGUUUUAAAUAGCCCCGCAUCUACUGUACUUGCCAAUUUAGACAAAGCAUCAACAUACCCAUUUUCUUAUCUCGGAAUGUGAACUUGUCGAUGUAUUGUAAUAGGCUCAUAACCUCGAUUAAAUAUGUAUCCAUUAUUUUGUCUUUGGCACUGAACUGCCUAUUGACUUGAUUAACAACUAAUUGUGAAACACAUUUUAUUUUCACUCUCUCAUUGUGCAUUUCUUUAGCCAAUUGAAGUCCUACCAAUAGGGCCUUAUAUUCGGCUGAGUGUUUGUUACUUUGAAUACGAACUUGUGUGUACAAUUUAACUUGUGCUCUUCUUGGAUUAUUAAGAUUAUCCCAGCUCGAGCAUCACUUUUUCUCAUUAUCUAUUAAAAAUUUCCAGGUUUCUCCCAGUUCAGGUUCCUUUUUAGGAAUGGAUCAUCUGAAAGAUCGACAGUGAAAUCUGUCAUUACUUGUGCCUUCAUUGCAAUAGCCUCCAAUAAUUCAUUUCAAAAUGCCUUAAUUCUACUGUCCAUUUCAUGAACCUUCUGAUGUAUCGGGCUUUGGUAAUACUUAUUCGAGUGAAAACUUAGACAACACAUCAAUGCUACGACUUUGGAAAUGAGGAUGAACUUUCCAAAAUGACACUACUAGAGCGAUGGCCAGGGACGGAUGUAGAAAUUUUUAGCUAGAGGAGCACAAUCAAACUCUGUACAAAUCAAAUACUUUGUUUUUUUAUUUUUGAAUGAUUUAUACUCGAACCGAUAAAAUGCAGAUUUACAUUUAAAAAACAUUUCUUUUUUAAUAUUUUACUCAUCAUUUUCAUCCAUUUGAUUUCGAUCUAUUAUUUUAUUAAUAUUUUGCUCAUCACAACAUAAUAUGCAUGUUUAUGUUUAAAAAAAUUAUAGUAUAUUUAAUACAAAUAAUCAAUUCGAGUGAUCGCAACGAAAAACAUAUAAUCAAUAUUCAAUCAUAUAAAUACAAUUCAUUAAAUAUAAGUUGAAUUGGAUAUAAUCAAUUCAGACACAUUCUAUGUACACAAAUAGGAUAGAAAAAUGAAAAUUUAUGUUCUAAUUAUUUGGAAAUUUGAUUGAAAAGUGAAAAUUGUAGUAGAAUUUGUAGAAAAAUUAUAGACAAAUUUAAAAAAAAAAAAAUUAGAAGAGUUCAAAUUUUAAUAAAAGGUGCGAGGGAGAAUGUAAGAUACAGUAAGAGGAGAGGAAAAAAAAUGCAAAUUUAUUAUGAUUUUGCUCAUGUUUAGUGGAGGUUAAAAUCAAAUUUUUAGUAUAUUUUGGUAAAACUUAAAAAGUUAAGAUUCCAUGAAAUAUAUUAUUAAAAUUAAUUGUUAACUUCCUUUGGCAACAAUGAGAGCAAGAAUUUCCACGUCCAGUAGGAAGUAGGGAGACCGUCCCUCACUCUCGUCAGUUGUACAUAUGCCCACGGGAGUGUACAAUGACAACUUCCGAGCAUGAGUGCCGGAUCAUGAGAACUCUCUCCCAAAGCUGCAGAACUAACAACUCUAUUAGAAAAUAGAAUUAGCAACUUGGAAUGCAAGAAUGAAUCUCAAAAAGGUCUGCUCUCGCAGUUAGGAUUGCGAUUGGAAUCACAAGAGAAGAUAUUGUGCUUCUUGGGGUAGACUGCAUAUAUCUUAAAACAAUGCCAAUUACCAGUCGCAGUAGCAAUAGGAUAAGGCACGCAGGGUGACGUUCAAUUUCAGCAUCCGAGCCAGACCGACAGCGGAAGCCUAGCACUAAGUGUGUUCGAAUAAUCAAAAGAAGUUCUGUUUCAAAGCCUAUUUUGAUAGGAUUCUCUGAGAUCGCCGAGUAGUCAUAGGUAAGUAGCAGCUAUCUCCGACCUCAAAGAGUGAGACAAGAGCAAUGAGAGAGUGAGCCCCGGGUGGGGCGCACGAAUGGAGGACUGAAAUAAAUAGGGUAGCCCAUCUUUUCAAUUUGGAUUUCAAUCGAAACCAAACAGGAUUUAUCCACAGAAAAAGAAAAAGAAGUUGGAGGGUCACCUGACCCCCCCUUGAGUCUGCCCAUGGCAACGGCCAAUUUUUUCCAUAUCUAGAUAUCUAGUAUCAGUAGUUUUGAGAGCUUUUCUUACUAGUACAUUGAUAAAUAAUUAUGCCUCUCCUUUCUUACAAGUGCAGAACUCACAGUUACUUUAGAUACAACCAAAGCAAUAGUUUCUUCUCGUUCAACAGUUUGGCUAAAAGUAGGGCUUUGCCCAAAUGCUAUAUCAAAGCUUGCAAAGCAUGUUUUGGUCCCUUAAAAAACAUUUUUCAUCCUUUUAAUAAUUGAAUGAAAUGAGAGCAUUUAAGUAUGGCUUGUGGGAUGUAGUUCAAGGUUUCGACCCUUACAAUGAGACCCUGAAUCUCUUUGGUGUUUCUAGAGAUUACAUCUCUAUGAGAGUUCAUACUUUAUCAAGGUUCACAACAAUGCCCCGUUGGUUUACCAUGAAAACUAAAAUUUUUCCAUACAUGAAUUCGAAUGCACAUUUAUGUGGAUUGAGUUUUAUAAGAUAUUAGAGAAUAUGAAAUGUUUCAAAUGAUUGUCGACCUGAAGGAUUUUGAUGAGCAUAUCAUCGAUAUAUACUUCAAUUAUUUUGCCUAUAUGAUCUAUGAACAUUUUAUUGACUAGUCUUUGAUAUGUUGUCCCAGUGUUCAAUAAAUUAAAGGCUAUCACCUUAUAGAAUUAUAGACCUUGAUCAGUAACAAGGGUAGUAUGCUCUGCAUCGUGCAUGUACAUGGGAAUCUGAUUAUAUUUAGAGCACGCAUGCGCAUCCAUGAAAUUCUAAGUUCGUGUCACGUAUUGUAUCCAGUAAUUGAUCAAUUUUGGGGAUAAAAAAAUCCUUAAGACAUGCCUUGUUUACUUCUGUGAAGUCUUGAUAGGUUUUCCACUUUCAAUUACUUUCUGAAACCAAAAAUGAAUUACAGAACUACACUGGAUAUUUAGUUUCAUGAGUAAAAUCAUUCAAUAACAUAUAUACUUUGCUUUUAGAAGAUUCAUAUUUUUGGGAGAUCAUUGGUCUUCUCCUUUACAUUUUAGGCCUUACUUUGGGUUCGAUAUACGCCACUUUCGAGUCAAUUUCUACAAUAUCCGCAUGCUUUUAGGUGAAAUAAUUAAAAUUUGCUUUUCAGUAAGUCUUUUAGUGCACUUUCAUAGGUUUAGCCAUAUCUUUUCUAACUUUUGAAACCUCGGUUGCGUCCUCUUCGUGCAAUGAAAAGCUUCUUGAUCUUUGACCGCUAUAGCUUUGGAUAUGUAUUUAGUGAUUCGAGGGUCGACUGAAUCAUACUUCAAAUUUCUCUUCCAUAGGAUUAUUUUCUUUAACCAUCGCUAUCGUAUCACAGGGCUGCCGCUCUUAGCCCACUAAGGUAGCACCCUCGCAUAACCCCCUUGUCACAUUUUAUACGAGCUUCUCCUGCACAAGUAGGAAUUUUACACAUAAUUGGAAAAUGUAAAUUACUACAUUCAUUUUUUUCAUAUACCCUUGGAAUACUCGAGGUUCCUCGCUUAGCUUCACUGCUAGAGUAUAUCGGACCUGACCAUUUCUAGUGAAAUCUUGAGGACCAGGCGUGGUGGUCCAAGGAUGAUAAGAUUGUAUUUGAUCUAAUUCAUUCCAAAACAGAACAUUUAUCAAACUUUUUCUAUCCACAAGCAUGUGACUAGAGCCAUUGCUCACCGUUAUUGCUGAUAUCAUCAAAGCAUCACAAUGACGAUAGAUGAUUUUAUCCUUAUUAACGACAUACUAAAUUGGAAGGGAUUUAGGUUUUAAAUUACCUUGAAUCCAAUAAUUUUCUUAAGCUAAUAUUGUAACAUCCCGAAAUUUUUUUUAGAAUAAAAAUUUAUUUAUAGAUAUCAUAUUUGAAAAUGAGGGACUAAGAUGAAAUAUAUUUUAAACUAUUAUAUUUUUGGGUCAAAUAAUUGAAUUUUGAUAGAGUGAUGAUAAGUAUAUCAAUAUUAUACUCAUUGGAUAGCUCUUAUUUAAUUAUGUAUUUUAGGCUCGAGAAAAAAUUAAUUAAGAUAAGUUAGGCAUAAGAUAUUAUAGUUUAAGAAUGUAAGUUUGUUAAUUUAUGCAGCCACGUGUUUUAUGAGUUUAACAAUAAUCUUAAUUGGAUUAUGAUAUAGUUUAAUAUUAAUCCUAAGUUCAUUAUUUUAAACUAGUACUUAUCCAAAUUAUUUGUGGAGCGUGGCUUUUCCAUUUUAGUAGCAUCAAAACACUAUUUACGGUUAAUCAAUGGAAUUAAGAUAAUUAGUAAAAGAUUUAUAAUAUUUUAUAAUCACGUUUAUCUUUAUUUUGAUAAAGGUUGAAUUGUAUCCACUUUUUAUUUUCUAUUUUGAAAUCCAUCUGCCCGUAAAUAAUGUGAUUUUAUUUCUUUUGACCUUGGAAUUUAUAGGAUGGCUGCACAUACACUUUUGGAUAAAGAUAGCUUCUUUUUUUUUUUUUUGAUUGAAUAAGAUAAUAUUAUAGUACAAUUUGGGUAGACUUUUGGUUGCAUGGCACAUGAAUUGGCUCUAUCAAAUAAAUAUUUUAUUUUUAUCCAUUUCCAUAGUCUCCACCUAUUUAUAUAGGCAUGAUGUAAGAGUUUUGCAUACAAAAAUAAUAAUUCAUCACACUCAUACGAGAGAGAGAGAGAGAGAGAGAGAGAGAGAGAGAGAGAGAGAGAGUUGUUGAAAUCAGAAAUUUGCACACAGUCAAUAGUCUUAAUUUCACCAAACCAGAAAAAGGAAAGAGUUUUGAACGUGAAUUCUGAUUUUAUCUUUCAAUAGCGUAUUAAGAUACUUUAUGUGCAAGUGCUUUCAUUUUUUUAUAUUUUUAUAUUCAAUUAAAUAUGCAUGGAUUACCAGUAAGCAUCCUUUUUUUUUUUAACAAGAUAUGAAAUCCUACGGGAUUAUAAGAGGACCUAAGAUGGGUGUGUCGCUUGGUUAUCGAUAUACUCCAUAAGAUUAGAGUGGUAUGAAAUGUAUAAUUUUUAUUAUUAUAUAUUUGAAUAUGGAAACAAUGCGUAUUUUACUGGGUAUUUUCGAAUACUCUUACAAAUUUUUACAAGUUAGUUCGGGUCGAUUGGACUGUGGUGAAUUGGUGAUGCGGACUAUCAAGUAAAUCGAAUAAAGGAAAAAGGAAAUAAACAGUAGUCCGCUGUUAUGUUUUUAAUUUUAAUUGUUAGCUUAAAUUGCUCAAAAGACCCAC